CACAAAUUAUAAAACAUGUCUUUUCUCUCCUCCACCGCUCUCUUCUUCUUUAUCGUUCUUCUUAAUCUGAGUUCUUUUCACGCCUCCGAUGGAGCUCAACAAGCUACUUACAUUGUUCACAUGGCGAAAUCUCAGAUGCCCUCGAGCUUCGACCACCACUCUCUCUGGUACGAUUCCUCACUCCGCUCAGUCUCAGAAUCCGCUGAAAUGAUCUACACCUACAACAAUGCGAUACAUGGAUUCGCCACUCGGCUUACUCCCGAAGAAGCCGACUCCCUCAUGACCCAACCUGGUGUCAUCUCGGUUCAACAAGAGCAGAAGUACGAGUUACACACCACUCGAACUCCACUAUUCCUUGGUCUCGACGGACAAAACGCAGGCCUAUUCCUCGAAACCGGCGCCUCAAGCGACAUUAUCCGUCGCUACGUCUUGACCGAUCCGAAUCCCACCACUUCCAUUUUGAUCAGAGGAACAGUCGUGAACGUCCGGCCAUCUCCGAUGGUUGCGACGUUUAGCUCGCGGGGACCUAAAACGAUAAUGCCAAACAUUCUCAAACUGGAUUUGAUAGCUCCGGGAGUCAAUAUCCUCGCCGCAUGGACCGGAGCUCGCGGGGACCUAAUACGAUACUCGCCGCGUGGAAUUCAACAUCAAGUCAGGAGCGUCCAUGUCUUGCCCUCACGUGAGCGGUUUGGCGGCUCUUCUCAUGUCUGUGCAUCUGGAAUGGAGCCCGGCGGCGAUUCGAUCGGCUCUCAUGACCACCGCUUACAAUACUUACAAAGACGGAAAACCGAUCCUCGACGUCGCGACGGGAAAACCUUCAACACCGUUCGAGCACGGGUCGCCCACGACGGCCGUUAAUCCAGGACUCAUCUACGAUCUAACAACGGAGGAUUAUAUAGAUUUCAUCUGCGCAUCGAAUUACAAUUCGUCGCUGAUCACAAUCAUAUCGAGAGGCAAUUACGCUUGUCCAAGAAAAACGCACCCCGCCGCUGAUCUAAACUAUCCGUCGUUCGCCGUUAACGUCAAAGGAUCCGGCACGUACAAGUACACCCGCACUGUCACAAACGUGGGAGGAGCUGGGUCAUACUCGGUUAAAGUAACGUCGGAGACAACGGCAGUCAAGAUUUCGGUUGAACCGCCGGUUUUGAAUUUCAAAGAAGUGAACGAGAAGAAAUCGUAUUCGGUGACGUUUACCGUUGUCUCAUCUAAGGCGCCAAGGUCUAACAGCUUCGGGAGCAUCGAAUGGUCAGAUGGAAAACACGUAGUGGCGAGUCCCGUGGCGAUUAGAUAGACAUAGGUGGUCAAUUAUGUCAAACUUGAGUAAGAAGAAAGCCACAGAUAUUGUAAUGCCGUUUAUCAUAAGAUCUCUGUUUAGCGAAAACGGCAUGCAGUCUGUUUUAUAAGUAAUUUCUCAUGAGACUUGAAUAUUUAAUGAAAAGUAAAAAUUGGUGACGACUAUGUUAGCUGGCUAGUGUCUUAUGACUAUUUUUAUUCGGAAAGGGCAUCUCCAAUAGUGCAUCAAAAUAAGGGAGAACAUACAAAAAUGAAGGAAAUCUAUUUCCAAUGUUACAUCAUUUUGAGAAAAAAAAAAUGAGUAUAUGAACGGUAUUCUUUCAAAUUUGAGGGAAUAUUAUUAAAAAUCUCAUUUUGAUGUUAAGUUUUUUUAUUUAUAUAAUGGUCAUUUACUAUUUGACAAUCUUUAUUUUAUGCAUAAAAAACAUUAACACUAAACAUAACUUUCAUAACUUUAUAUCAAUUAUGUAUAUACUGGUUAAACUUCUUAAAAUAUAAUUACCAAUAAUUAAUUAUUAAAAUAUAAUUUAUAAUUUUAUAGAUUAUAAUAUAUAAUUAAAAGAAAAUAAAAUAGAAAACAAUACCAUUAAGAUACAUAACUAAUACAAAGUUAAGAAAAACACAACAAACUUAAUACAACAUUUAACAAGAAUUGAGAGAGAAAAUGAAAAAAACCACUGGAGCAAAUCACAAACUCAUUUUAAAUUUAUUUCAUUUUGUAAGAAAAAAUGAUGGAAACCAUCGGAAAUGGUCUAAGUUUUGGACAUUGAAGAUACUAACAAUUAUUAAAUUAGUUUAUAAGAUAUGAAAUAUACUAGGCAUGCAUUACUAGUUCAUGACUGAUUUAAUGACUAAUCUUGAUUCACGUUGCAUGAAUGUGAACCACUCAACGUAGGAAACUAGACUUGUAAUUGUGAGGUUUGGUCAAAGUCCAUCAGACAUGUUCAAUGUUGGGCCGGCUUGCACAAGUUACGCGCGGAGAACAUAUGGACCUAAUCGUUGAAGCCCAUUAGGUCAAGUACUGAUACAAAUAAGGAAAGAUCACGACAGGGAUCUCCAAGCUCAAGCUGAGCCUCUAGGAGGUGAGAGCUUCCAUGGGGUCUCUUGGAGAGAUAGAGUAAGCUAGUGAUAGAUAUGUAAUCCUAGGCUUAGCUCUUAGCCAUGUACUUCUCUUGUAAUAUCUUUAUACUCUCUAGGGUUUGUAUACCCAGGACAGAGAGAGUAAUGAUCUUGUAAACCACAUCGGAGGUGUUUUCCGAUACUCCAUAGUGGAUGUUGUGGAUCCUGGAUCCGCCCCAAAUGUAGCGCGCUGCGGCCGUGAAAUGGGUGAACAAUUCUUGAGUCAUGAACAAGGAUGAAUCGUUUGAGUAGUGAAAGGGACAGAGGUAUUAUGAGCUUGUAUUCCGCAACAAGUGGGUAUCAUAACCCCCACAAGUGGUAUCAGAGCAUAUGAAUACCCCACAAGUGGUAUCAGAGCAUAGGCUCAUUGAUUCAUGGAGUCCACGUCUCGAGGAGGAGAGACAUAUGAAGAAGCUUCCAAGCGAGACAGAAGAAACUCGCAAGGUUUAAUGGAAGCUGGUGGUCACGUGGUUCUACACACGUGGAAUUCUGAUUAUGUUAAAAAUCAGAGGAUAAACCGAGUUACAAGAUCAGGUUAAAGAGAUUUUUGGUUUACAAGAGAANNNNNNNNNNNNNNNNNNNNNNNNNNNNNNNNNNNNNNNNNNNNNNNNNNNNNNNNNNNNNNNNNNNNNNNNNNNNNNNNNNNNNNNNNNNNNNNNNNNNNNNNNNNNNNNNNNNNNNNNNNNNNNNNNNNNNNNNNNNNNNNNNNNNNNNNNNNNNNNNNNNNNNNNNNNNNNNNNNNNNNNNNNNNNNNNNNNNNNNNNNNNNNNNNNNNNNNNNNNNNNNNNNNNNNNNNNNNNNNNNNNNNNNNNNNNNNNNNNNNNNNNNNNNNNNNNNNNNNNNNNNNNNNNNNNNNNNNNNNNNNNNNNNNNNNNNNNNNNNNNNNNNNNNNNNNNNNNNNNNNNNNNNNNNNNNNNNNNNNNNNNNNNNNNNNNNNNNNNNNNNNNNNNNNNNNNNNNNNNNNNNNNNNNNNNNNNNNNNNNNNNNNNNNNNNNNNNNNNNNNNNNNNNNNNNNNNNNNNNNNNNNNNNNNNNNNNNNNNNNNNNNNNNNNNNNNNNNNNNNNNNNNNNNNNNNNNNNNNNNNNNNNNNNNNNNNNNNNNNNNNNNNNNNNNNNNNNNNNNNNNNNNNNNNNNNNNNNNNNNNNNNNNNNNNNNNNNNNNNNNNNNNNNNNNNNNNNNNNNNNNNNNNNNNNNNNNNNNNNNNNNNNNNNNNNNNNNNNNNNNNNNNNNNNNNNNNNNNNNNNNNNNNNNNNNNNNNNNNNNNNNNNNNNNNNNNNNNNNNNNNNNNNNNNNNNNNNNNNNNNNNNNNNNNNNNNNNNNNNNNNNNNNNNNNNNNNNNNNNNNNNNNNNNNNNNNNNNNNNNNNNNNNNNNNNNNNNNNNNNNNNNNNNNNNNNNNNNNNNNNNGCGGGUCCGAGUCCUCUCUCAAGUCUGCCUCAGAAUCUGCUGAAAUGCUCUACACUUACAACAGCGCAAUACAUGGAUUCGCCACUCGGCUUACUCCCGAAGAAGCCGACUCCCUCAUGACCCAACCUGGUGUCAUCUCGGUUCGACAAGAGCAGCGGUACGAGUUACACACCACUCGGACUCCACUAUUCCUAGGUCUAGAUGUACACAACGGAGGCCUAUUCCCCGAAACCAGCACAUCUAGCAACCUUGUCAUUGGAGUUCUUGACACUGGUAUUUGGCCAGAGAGCAAAAGCUUCUCCGACGAAGGAUACGGUCCUAUUCCGUCGACAUGGAAAGGCGAAUGCGAGGCUGGGACUAACUUCACCGCUUCGCUCUGUAACCGCAAACUAGUAGGAGCUAGAUUCUUCGCUGGGGGUUACGAAGCAAGAGUGGGACCAGUCAACGAAUCCAUGGAAUCAAGAUCGCCUAGAGACGACGAAGGUCACGGAACACACACGGCGUCAACAGCAGCGGGAUCAGUCGUGGAAGGAGCUAAUCUUUUAGGGUUUGCUAAUGGAACGGCUCGUGGGAUUGCUUAUCGCGCUCGAGUGGCUGUUUACAAAGUUUGUUGGCAACCUGGUUGCUUCAGCUCAGAUAUUUUAGCUGGAAUGGAUAAAGCCAUCGAAGAUAAUGUCAACGUUCUGUCUAUAUCUCUCAGCGGUCCAAGGACAGAUUAUACAGACGAUAUUGCCGUUGGAGCAUUCGCGGCCAUGGAAAGAGGGAUCUUUGUUUCUUGCUCAGCUGGCAAUUUUGGUCCCAGCCCUUUCAGUGUAGCGAACAUAGCUCCGUGGAUUACUACGGUUGGUGCUGGUACUAUUGAUCGUGAUUUUCCCGCCCUUGCGAUUCUCGGCAAUGGGAAGAACUACACUGGAGUUUCGUUAUUUAAAGGAGAUGCACUUCCAGCUAAAAUGUUGCCAUUUAUUUACGCGGGGAAUGCUAGUAACAAUGCUACUUAUGGAAAUUUUUGUAUCUCCGGAACACUAAUUCCUGAGAAGGUAAAGGGGAAGAUCGUAAUGUGCGAUACAGGAGGAAAUCAAGCUAGGAAAGGGGAGGUGGUGAAAGCUGCUGGUGGACUCGGAAUGAUUCUAGCGAAUUUGGCAGAGGAAGGAGAAGAAGUUCAGGCGGAGGCUCACUUUUUACCGGCGACCGCUGUGGGAGAGAAAGCCGGUGACAUUAUCCGCCGCUACGUCUUGACCGAUCCGAAUCCAACGGCUUCAGUUGUGAUCCAAGGCACUGUCGUCCACGUCAAGCCCUCUCCUGUGCUUGCAGCAUUUAGCUCGCGAGGACCUAAUCCCAUAACGCCAAACAUUCUCAAACCGGACUUGAUUGCUCCGGGAGUCAAUAUCCUCGCCGCGUGGACCGGAGCUCUGGGUCCCACCGGACUAGCUUCCGAUACUCGCCGCGUGGAAUUCAACAUCAUCUCAGGAACGUCCAUGUCUUGCCCUCACGUGAGCGGUUUAGCGGCUCUUCUCAAGUCUGUGCAUCCCGAAUGGAGCCCGGCCGCGAUUCGAUCUGCUCUCAUGACCACCGCUUACAAUACCUACAAAGACGGCAAACGGAUCCGGGACAUCGCGACGGGGAAACCUUCUACGCCGUUCGAGCACGGUGCAGGACAUGUAUCGCCAACGAUCGCCGUCAAUCCAGGACUCAUCUACGAUCUAACGACGGUGGAUUAUUUAGAUUUCCUCUGCGCAUUGAAAUACAAUUCGUCGCUGAUCAGAAUCAUAUCGAGAGGCAAUUACACUUGCAACCCAAGCAAAAAUUACUCCGUCGCUGAUCUAAACUAUCCGUCGUUUGCCGUUAACGUCGACGGAUCCGACACGUACAAGUACACACGCACUGUCACAAACGUUGGAGGAGCUGGGUCGUACUCGGUUAAAGUAACGUCGGAGACAACGGCAGUCAAAAUUUCGGUUCAACCGGCGGUUUUGAAUUUCAAGGAAGUAAACGAGAAGAAAUCGUAUUCAGUGACGUUUACCGUUGACUCGUCUAAGCCGUCUGGGUCUAACAGCUUUGGGAGCAUUGAGUGGUCAGAUGGGAAACACGUGGUGGCUAGUCCGGUGGCUAUUAGCUGGACAUAGUAGUCAAUUACGACUACCUUGAGAAAGAAGAAAGUCACAUAUAUUGUAAUGUCGUUUUUCAUAAGAGCUCUGUUUAGCGAAAACAGCAUGCAGUCUGUUUUGUACGUAAUUUUUAUCACUAGACUUGAAUAUUUAAUGAAAAGUAAAAAAGUAUGGCUUUUGUUAAAAGCAAUUUCACCUAUUUACAUGAUUGUGAACCACUCUAAGUAGAAAACUAUCACUAAUCAAUUACCUCCAGUGUUUCAUAACAAUGUGACUGCAAUGAGUUUAAACAUAUUUUAAUCUAAUAACAUAAAUCACCAAUAAUAACAAGUUCAUCAGUAUGAGGUACUAAGGAGAGCAAUCGAAAUAACAAACUAUUUUUUUUAAUUGAAAUAACAAAAUGUUUGGCUUUUGUUAAAAGCGAGCAAUUUCACCUAUUUACAUUACACAAAUUUGCAGAGGAAAAUCCAAAAUAAAAGAAAAAGAUAAAAUUCAUGAAUACUGGCACUCGACUCAAAUUUAAUCAAGGUCCAAUUACAACUUGAUAUAGAAUUUUAUUUUCAAAAAUUUAAUAUAAAAAUAAGGACGUGAACAAGAGUCAAAAACCCACCGUGGCAUUAUCUAUCACUCAGGGACCAAUACAAUGGACCAACCUGCCAGCUUUUGAUGUUGCUACAAUUUUUAUUUUUCCUGGUUUAUAAAAAUAUAAACUAAAGUAAAAAGAAAAUCUGAAAAUGUAUCACUGUAAUGUUAGCUAUUUUUAUGUGAUUUUAGUUAGUUUGAUCUGAUAUUCAUGUCGUACCAUACAACCAAAGUCUCUAGUUGCCACUCACAUUAUUUGGAUCCAACCCUCAAAGCCCCAUAGAAUAUAUAUAUAUAUAUAUGGAAAGUAGUUCGUUACUUCGCUUUUGUCUUGUGAUGAGCCUUAAUGGACUUACAAUAUUCUUAAACCCUAAACCCUGAUUUUAAAACACCAAAGCAUUCAUGUCAGCCUAGAGAAUUUGCAGUAGAGAUUCAUACCAGAAAGCCGAGAGUAAGAUGGCAUCCCUUGGAGGAGGAUCUUCCGGAUUAACCGAUGGAUAGCUCACACUCAUUUGCUUCUCUUAUCAUAUAAAAUUUCGGGGAAACAAAUCAAGCGAUGAGUAUAGCUUAUUGAUCAUUUUCCUUUCAAAUACUCGUACACUUCAAAUCUAAUUCAAGUUCUUAUAAGGUAAAACUUUUCUGGCUAGAUUCCAGAAGGUAAACUUGUGUUCACACUUCACAGUCACCUAUAAACCAUCUUUAUAGUCUCAAACAAAUCACAGUCAGUAUAUCUAGUAUAGUAAUCAUUAAUCAGUGUAACUGGAUAAUUAUUUCAUGUCGAACAUAGUAAACUUAUGAGAACAAAAGUCUUUAUCUUUUGUCCUUGGUGAACAGAAGUCUACAAACAUUAAAAUUUACGAAAUAAAUUGAGAGAGAAAUCAAAAUGUGUGUGUGGAAAACCACUGUAACAUACAAACAAAAUAUACUCAAAAUUUUGAAUUUUGCAUUAGUACACACCACCAAAUAAUCUUCUAGAGAUAUGAACUAAGAGGCUAUAUUCACUUUAGUGUUAAAAGUUUUUGAACGUCAUUAUGGUUUUCUCGAUCCCCCAUGAUACUAUCAAACCUAUAAACCGUCUUUAUAGUCUAAAACAAGUCACAGUAAAUAUGAGGAUUAAAAACGUUAAUACUAAUCGGAAACACACAAUCUCAAGAUUAUAAUCUCGAGAUAAUACUAGAGUAUAGUAAUUAGUGUAAUUGGAUAAAUAUUAUUUCAAGUUGAACAUAGGUAAAAAUUAUGCGAACAAAAGUCUUUAUUUUUUGUCUUGGUGAGCAGAAGUCUACAGAGAUUAGAAUUUACGUAAAAACAAAAUUAAUCACUUUCGAAGCAGAAUAGUGGACAGGAGUCUAGUUGCCCAUUAUCUCUUUUUUUUUUUUUUUAAAAACACACUUGUCCAGUAUCUCCUCACUCUCUUUUUAUACUCUAUAUAAUCUCCCUCGCGUCUUUAACAUUUUCCGCACAAAUUAUAAAACAUGUCUUUUCUCUCCUCCACCGCUCUCUUCUUCUUUAUCGUUCUUCUUAAUCUGAGUUCUUUUCACGCCUCCGAUGGAGCUCAACAAGCUACUUACAUUGUUCACAUGGCGAAAUCUCAGAUGCCCUCGAGCUUCGACCACCACUCUCUCUGGUACGAUUCCUCACUCCGCUCAGUCUCAGAAUCCGCUGAAAUGAUCUACACCUACAACAAUGCGAUACAUGGAUUCGCCACUCGGCUUACUCCCGGAGAAGCCGACUCACUCAUGACCCAACCUGGUGUCAUCUCGGUUCAACAAGAGCAGAAGUACGAGUUACACACCACUCGAACUCCAUUAUUCCUUGGUCUCGACGGACAAAACGCAGGACUAUUCCCCGAAACCGGCGCCUCAAGCGACAUAGUCAUAGGAGUUCUGGACACCGGUAUUUGGCCAGAGAGCAAAAGCUUCUCUGAUGAAGGAUACGGUCCAAUUCCAUCUACAUGGAAAGGCGAAUGCCAGGCUGGGACUAACUUCACCGCUUCGCUGUGUAACCGCAAACUAAUCGGAGCUAGAUUCUUCUCUGACGGUUACGAAAGAGAUUAUGGAAAAAUCAACCAAGCCGACGAGUCGAAAUCGCCGAGAGACGACUUCGGUCAUGGAACACACACGGCGUCAACCGCGGCUGGAAACGUCGUGAAAGGAGCUAAUUAUUUAGGCUUUGCUAGUGGGACGGCUAGUGGGAUGGCUCAUCGCGUCCGAGUGUCUGUUUACAAAGUUUGUUGGAAAAGUGCUUGCGUGAGCUCAGAUAUUUUAGCUGGAAUGGAUAAAGCCAUCGAAGAUAAUGUCCACAUUAUGUCAUUAUCUAUCGGUGGUAAAUCGACAAGUUAUACAGGCGAAAUUUCCAUGGGUGCAUUCUCGGCCAUGGAAAGAGGGAUCUUUGUUUCCUGCUCUGCUGGUAAUGAUGGUCCCAGCCCAUCCAGCUUAUCAAACGCAGCUCCCUGGAUUACUACUGUUGGUGCUAGUAGUAUUGACCGUGAGUUUCCCGGGGUUGUGAUCCUCGGCAACGGAAAGAACUAUACUGGAGUUUCGUUGUUCAAUGGAAAUGCUCUUCCUGCUAAAUUGUUGCCGUUUGUUUAUGGAAAUUAUUGUAGCCGCGGAACACUAAAUCCUGAGAAGGUAAAGGGGAAGAUCGUGAUGUGCAUCAAAGAUGACAGUGUAAGGACUGAGAAAGGGGAGGUGGUGAAAGCUGCCGGUGGACUCGGAAUGAUUCUGGCAAAUGCAGCAGGGAGCGGAGAAGAAGUUCUGGCGGAUGCUCAUGUGUUACCUGUGACCGCCGUGGGACAGAAAGCCGGUGACAUUAUCCGUCGCUACGUCUUGACCGAUCCGAAUCCCACCGCUUCCAUUUUGAUCAGAGGAACGGUCGUGAACGUCCGGCCAUCUCCGAUGGUUGCCGCGUUUAGCUCGCGGGGACCUAAUACGAUAACGCCAAACAUUCUCAAACCGGAUUUGAUAGCUCCUGGAGUCAAUAUCCUCGCCGCAUGGACCGGAGCUCUGGGUCCCAGUGGACUCGGAACCACUUCCGAUACUCGUCGCGUGGAAUUCAACAUCAACUCGGGAACGUCCAUGUCUUGCCCUCACGUGAGCGGUUUAGCGGCUCUCCUCAAGUCUGUGCAUCCGGAAUGGAGCCCCGCGGCAAUUCGAUCGGCUCUCAUGACCACCGCUUACAAUACCUACAAAGACGGCAAACCGAUCCUCGACGUCGCGACGGGAAAACCUUCAACACCGUUCGAGCACGGUGCAGGACACGUGUCGCCCACGGCGGCCGUCAAUCCAGGACUCAUCUACGAUCUAACGACGGAGGAUUAUAUAGAUUUCAUCUGCGCAUCGAAUUAUAAUUCGUCGCUGAUCACAAUCAUAUCGAGAGGCAAUUACGCUUGUCCAAGAAAAACGCACCCCGCAGCUGAUCUAAACUAUCCGUCGUUCGCCGUUAACGUCAAAGGAUCCGGCACGUACAAGUACACCCGCACUGUCACAAACGUGGGAGGAGCUGGGUCAUACUCGGUUAAAGUAACGUCGGAGACAACGGCAGUCAAGAUUUCGGUUGAACCGGCGGUUUUGAAUUUCAAAGAAGUGAACGAGAAGAAAUCGUAUUCGGUAACGUUUACCGUUAUCUCAUCUAAGGCGCCAAUGUCUAACAGCUUCGGGAGCAUUGAAUGGUCAGAUGGGAAACACGUGGUGGCCAGUCCCGUGGCGAUUAGCUGGACAUAGGUGGUCCAUGAAGAAAUAUGGCGACUUGAGUAAGAAGAAAGCAACAGAUAUUGUAAUUUCUCAUGAGCCUUGGAUAUUUAAUGAAAAGUAAAAAAUUGGUAAGUACUAUUUUAGCUGGCUAGUGUGUUAUGAAUAUUCUUAUUUACUAGGCUGUGGACAUUGUAGAUACUGACAAUUAUUAGAUUAGUUUAUGAGAUAUGAAAUAUACUAGGCACUUGAUUCACGUUGCAUGAAUGUGAACCACUCAACGUAGGAAACUAUCACUAAUCAAAUACAUCUAGUGUAUCAUAACAAUGUGAUUACGAUGAGUUAAAAAAUAUGAAUCUAAUAACAUAGAGAAAAAGUAGAAACGACUCUAAGAGCUAAUCAUAACCAACUAGAGGUUUCAUUUCAAGAACCAACAAUAACAAGUUCAUAAACAUGAGGUAAUAAAAGAUAUCAAUCGAAAUAAAUACCUAUCUUCAAACAAACUAUAAAAAUGUAUGGCUUUUGUUAAAAGCAAACUCACCUCUUUCCAGUACACAAAUUUGCAGAGAAAAAUCCAAAAAAAAAAAGAAAAGGAUAAAACAAAUUCACGAAUAGUAACUCAAUUUUGAUCAACGUCCAAUUAAAACCCUGAUAUGUAAUUUUAUUUUCAGAAACCCAUCGUGGCAUUAUCACUCAGAGACUAAUACAAUUGGACCAACCUGCCAGCUUCUGAUGUUGCUAUAUUUUUAUUUUUUUUCUGUUUUAUAAAAAUAAAAACUAAUGUUAAAAGAGAGAAUGUAUCCCUGUAUUGUUAACUAUUGAUAUGAUUUAGUUAGUCUGAUCUGAUGUGAAGACAUGUUAAUUCAUACCAUACAAACCAAAGUCUCAAAUUGCCACCCACAUUAUUUGGAUCCCAACCGUCAAAAGCAUUGGUUAGUUGGUGUCUUCGACGAAACUCAUUGAGAUCUUUGCAAAGUAGUUCGUUUCUUUGCUUCUGUCUUGUGAUGAGCCUUAAAGAUAUUAAUAGACUCACAACUUACAUAAACCCUAAACCUGAUUUUAAAGUUGAGGAGGAUCAUGAACUUUAAAGAUAUUAAUAGACUCAUAACUUUGCUUCUGUUUUGUGAUAAGUUACAGCAGCCGGACUAGGAUCUUCCACCAAUGAACCGAUGCAUGGCUCACACUAAUUUGCUUCUCUUAUCUAAAACAAAUUUCGGGGAAAUAAAGCGAUGAGUAGAGCUUAUUGAUGAUUUCCUCACUCCGCUCAGUCUCAGAAUCCGCUGAAAUGAUCUACACCUACAACAAUGCGAUACAUGGAUUCGCCACUCGGCUUACUCCCGGAGAAGCCGACUCACUCAUGACCCAACCUGGUGUCAUCUCGGUUCAACAAGAGCAGAAGUACGAGUUACACACCACUCGAACUCCAUUAUUCCUUGGUCUCGACGGACAAAACGCAGGACUAUUCCCCGAAACCGGCGCCUCAAGCGACAUAGUCAUAGGAGUUCUGGACACCGGUAUUUGGCCAGAGAGCAAAAGCUUCUCUGAUGAAGGAUACGGUCCAAUUCCAUCUACAUGGAAAGGCGAAUGCCAGGCUGGGACUAACUUCACCGCUUCGCUGUGUAACCGCAAACUAAUCGGAGCUAGAUUCUUCUCUGACGGUUACGAAAGAGAUUAUGGAAAAAUCAACCAAGCCGACGAGUCGAAAUCGCCGAGAGACGACUUCGGUCAUGGAACACACACGGCGUCAACCGCGGCUGGAAACGUCGUGAAAGGAGCUAAUUAUUUAGGCUUUGCUAGUGGGACGGCUAGUGGGAUGGCUCAUCGCGUCCGAGUGUCUGUUUACAAAGUUUGUUGGAAAAGUGCUUGCGUGAGCUCAGAUAUUUUAGCUGGAAUGGAUAAAGCCAUCGAAGAUAAUGUCCACAUUAUGUCAUUAUCUAUCGGUGGUAAAUCGACAAGUUAUACAGGCGAAAUUUCCAUGGGUGCAUUCUCGGCCAUGGAAAGAGGGAUCUUUGUUUCCUGCUCUGCUGGUAAUGAUGGUCCCAGCCCAUCCAGCUUAUCAAACGCAGCUCCCUGGAUUACUACUGUUGGUGCUAGUAGUAUUGACCGUGAGUUUCCCGGGGUUGUGAUCCUCGGCAACGGAAAGAACUAUACUGGAGUUUCGUUGUUCAAUGGAAAUGCUCUUCCUGCUAAAUUGUUGCCGUUUGUUUAUGGAAAUUAUUGUAGCCGCGGAACACUAAAUCCUGAGAAGGUAAAGGGGAAGAUCGUGAUGUGCAUCAAAGAUGACAGUGUAAGGACUGAGAAAGGGGAGGUGGUGAAAGCUGCCGGUGGACUCGGAAUGAUUCUGGCAAAUGCAGCAGGGAGCGGAGAAGAAGUUCUGGCGGAUGCUCAUGUGUUACCUGUGACCGCCGUGGGACAGAAAGCCGGUGACAUUAUCCGUCGCUACGUCUUGACCGAUCCGAAUCCCACCGCUUCCAUUUUGAUCAGAGGAACGGUCGUGAACGUCCGGCCAUCUCCGAUGGUUGCCGCGUUUAGCUCGCGGGGACCUAAUACGAUAACGCCAAACAUUCUCAAACCGGAUUUGAUAGCUCCUGGAGUCAAUAUCCUCGCCGCAUGGACCGGAGCUCUGGGUCCCAGUGGACUCGGAACCACUUCCGAUACUCGUCGCGUGGAAUUCAACAUCAACUCGGGAACGUCCAUGUCUUGCCCUCACGUGAGCGGUUUAGCGGCUCUCCUCAAGUCUGUGCAUCCGGAAUGGAGCCCCGCGGCAAUUCGAUCGGCUCUCAUGACCACCGCUUACAAUACCUACAAAGACGGCAAACCGAUCCUCGACGUCGCGACGGGAAAACCUUCAACACCGUUCGAGCACGGUGCAGGACACGUGUCGCCCACGGCGGCCGUCAAUCCAGGACUCAUCUACGAUCUAACGACGGAGGAUUAUAUAGAUUUCAUCUGCGCAUCGAAUUAUAAUUCGUCGCUGAUCACAAUCAUAUCGAGAGGCAAUUACGCUUGUCCAAGAAAAACGCACCCCGCAGCUGAUCUAAACUAUCCGUCGUUCGCCGUUAACGUCAAAGGAUCCGGCACGUACAAGUACACCCGCACUGUCACAAACGUGGGAGGAGCUGGGUCAUACUCGGUUAAAGUAACGUCGGAGACAACGGCAGUCAAGAUUUCGGUUGAACCGGCGGUUUUGAAUUUCAAAGAAGUGAACGAGAAGAAAUCGUAUUCGGUAACGUUUACCGUUAUCUCAUCUAAGGCGCCAAUGUCUAACAGCUUCGGGAGCAUUGAAUGGUCAGAUGGGAAACACGUGGUGGCCAGUCCCGUGGCGAUUAGCUGGACAUAGGUGGUCCAUGAAGAAAUAUGGCGACUUGAGUAAGAAGAAAGCAACAGAUAUUGUAAUUUCUCAUGAGCCUUGGAUAUUUAAUGAAAAGUAAAAAAUUGGUAAGUACUAUUUUAGCUGGCUAGUGUGUUAUGAAUAUUCUUAUUUACUAGGCUGUGGACAUUGUAGAUACUGACAAUUAUUAGAUUAGUUUAUGAGAUAUGAAAUAUACUAGGCACUUGAUUCACGUUGCAUGAAUGUGAACCACUCAACGUAGGAAACUAUCACUAAUCAAAUACAUCUAGUGUAUCAUAACAAUGUGAUUACGAUGAGUUAAAAAAUAUGAAUCUAAUAACAUAGAGAAAAAGUAGAAACGACUCUAAGAGCUAAUCAUAACCAACUAGAGGUUUCAUUUCAAGAACCAACAAUAACAAGUUCAUAAACAUGAGGUAAUAAAAGAUAUCAAUCGAAAUAAAUACCUAUCUUCAAACAAACUAUAAAAAUGUAUGGCUUUUGUUAAAAGCAAACUCACCUCUUUCCAGUACACAAAUUUGCAGAGAAAAAUCCAAAAAAAAAAAGAAAAGGAUAAAACAAAUUCACGAAUAGUAACUCAAUUUUGAUCAACGUCCAAUUAAAACCCUGAUAUGUAAUUUUAUUUUCAGAAACCCAUCGUGGCAUUAUCACUCAGAGACUAAUACAAUUGGACCAACCUGCCAGCUUCUGAUGUUGCUAUAUUUUUAUUUUUUUUCUGUUUUAUAAAAAUAAAAACUAAUGUUAAAAGAGAGAAUGUAUCCCUGUAUUGUUAACUAUUGAUAUGAUUUAGUUAGUCUGAUCUGAUGUGAAGACAUGUUAAUUCAUACCAUACAAACCAAAGUCUCAAAUUGCCACCCACAUUAUUUGGAUCCCAACCGUCAAAAGCAUUGGUUAGUUGGUGUCUUCGACGAAACUCAUUGAGAUCUUUGCAAAGUAGUUCGUUUCUUUGCUUCUGUCUUGUGAUGAGCCUUAAAGAUAUUAAUAGACUCACAACUUACAUAAACCCUAAACCUGAUUUUAAAGUUGAGGAGGAUCAUGAACUUUAAAGAUAUUAAUAGACUCAUAACUUUGCUUCUGUUUUGUGAUAAGUUACAGCAGCCGGACUAGGAUCUUCCACCAAUGAACCGAUGCAUGGCUCACACUAAUUUGCUUCUCUUAUCUAAAACAAAUUUCGGGGAAAUAAAGCGAUGAGUAGAGCUUAUUGAUGAUUUUCCCUUUAGAAUCCUCUCACAUUUCAAAUAUAAUUUCAAAUUGUUAUAAGGUAAAACUUUUCUGGCUAGAUUCCAACUAGUAGUUUCGUUCAAAGGGAGAAAAUGAGAUCAAAUUAAAUCGUCUAAUAUUCACUUUGUUUUAAUGGUUUUUAUCCAACCUAUAAACCAUUUUUAUAGUCUCAAACAAGUCACAGUAAACAUCAAAAAGAACACAGGUAAACUUAUGUUCACAGUCACCUAUAAACUAUCUUUAUAGUCUCAAACAAGUCACAGCCAAUAUAUCCAGUAUAGUAAUCAGUGUGAUAUAUUAUUUGAUGUUGAACAUAGGUAAACUUCUCUGAACAAAAGUCUUUAUAUUUUGUCUUUGAACAGAAGUCUUCUAACAUUAAAAUUUACAAAAAGAACAAAAAUAAAUUUAGAGACAAAUCAAAACGGAAAGCAAAACUGAUCACUUUCAAAACAGAAUAGUGGACAGAAGAGUCUAAGAGCACCUCCAGUGCAUUACAUAACAUAAGUACACCACCAAAUAAUCUUCUAGUUAGAGAUAUGAAUUAAAAGGCUAUAUUCACUUAGUCUUAGAUUUUUAUCAAAACAUAUAAACCAUUUUUAUAGAGACUCAACAAGUUGUCAGCAUCAUAGUUAAAAUAUGUUAAUACUAAAUAGAAACAGAGAAUCUUAAAAUAAUAAAACAAUAAUAAUCUCGAGCUAAUACUGAAAUAUAAUAGUCAGUGUAAUUGAAUAUAUAUUAUUUCAUGUUGAACAUAGGUCAACUUAUGUGAACAAAAGUCUUUUAGGUUUUGUCCUCUUUGAAGAUAAGUCUAUAAACCUUAAAAAUUUACGGAAAAAAAAAACAAAAAAAAAAAUCAGAGAGAAAUCAAAAUGUGUGUGUGGAAAACCAACAUAACAUACAAACAAAAUAUACUUUAAAGGAAAUUGGAUUUUAUACAACUACACCAAGUAUAAUCUUCUAGAGUUAUAUAUUAAGGUUAUAUUCACUUAGUGUUAAUGUUUUUUGAACAUCAUAAAGGUCUUCUGAAUCCCUCAUGGCAUGAUGAUUUUAUCAAAACUAUAACCGAUCUUUAUCAUCUCAAACGAGUCACAGUAAAUAUCAGAAUUAAAGAGGUAAUACUAAACAAAAACAUAGAAUCUCAAGAAAAUAAACCAAUAAUUGUCUCGAGAUAAUACCAUAGUAUAGUAAAAAAAAUUGAUAAUCCGGAGUAUCCAAAUCCGAAAGACUAACUGAUUUUUUGGGGUCGAUCCACCGGCCACAGACAAGCUCGUUUACUCUAUAUGAGAGUUACAUAUCCAAGCCGCCUAAAUAUAUGCAGAUGAAUAAAUUUAAAUGGUAGGUUUUGGACUCGGGAUGCUCAGCACGUUUUCGAACCUGUCGUAUCACUCGAUAAUAUAUGUAUGGUUAAUUAUAGUAAUUAGUGUAAGUGGAUAUAUUAUUAUUUCAUGUUGAACAUAGUUAAUAUCAUGUGAACAAAAGUCUUUAUUUUUUGUCUUGAUGAACAAAGUCUACGAAGAUUAAAAUUUACCUAAAAACAAAAGUAAAUUUUAGAGAAGUCGAAAAGAAAAACGAAAGAGAUCACUUUAAAAGCAGAAUAGUGAACAAGAGUGUUAUAGUAAUAUCUCCUCACUCUCUUUCUCGACUCUAUAUAAACUCUCUCGCAUCUUCACAUUUUCCACACAACUUCACAAAACAUGUCUUCUUCGUUUGUCUCAUCCACUGCUUCUUUCUUCUUUAUCGUUCUUCUUUAUCACGGUUCCUUCCACGUCUCCGAUGGAGCUCAACAAGCUACAUUCAUUGUUCACAUGGCGAAAUAUCAGAUGCCCUCAAGCUUCGACCACCACUCUCUCUCUGGUACGAGUCCUCUCUCAAAUCCGUAUCAGAAUCUGCUGAAAUGCUCUACACUUACAACAAUGUAAUUCACGGAUUACUUCCGAAGAAGCUGACUCACUCAUGACCACCGCUUACAAUACCUACAAAGACGGACAACCGAUCAUUGACAUCGGGACGGUAAAACCUUCAACGCCGAUUGGGCACGGUGCAGGACACGUGUCACCGACGACGGCCAUCAGUCCAGGACUCAUCUACGAUCUAACGACUAAGUAUUAUAUAGAUUUCCUCUGCGCAUUGAAUUAUAAUUCGUCGCAGAUAAUAAAAGUAUCGAGAGGCAAUUACACUUGCGAUACAAGGAAAACUUACUCCGUUGCUUAUCUAAACUAUCCAUCGUUUGCCGUUAACGUCGACGGGUCCGACACGUACAAGUACACACGCACGGUCACAGCAGUUAAGAUUUCGGUUGAACCGCCGGAUUUGAUUUUCAAAGAAGUAAACGAGAAGAAAUCGUAUUCGGUAACGUUUACUGUUGACCCGUCGAAGCCGUCAGGGUCUAACAGCUUUGGCAGCAUCGAGUGGUCGGAUGGGAAACACGUGGUAGCCAGUCCAGUGGCAAUUAGCUGGACAUAGUAGUCAAUUACGACUAACUUGAGAAAGAAGAAAGUUACAGAUAUAAAAAAAAAAAAAGAAAGUUACAGAUAUUUAUAUGCCGUUUUCCAUAAGAACUCUGUUUAGCGAAAACGGCAUGAAGUCGGUUUUCUAGGUAAUAUAACAAGAGACUUGAAUAUUUAAUGAAAAGUAAAAAAAUGGUAACGACUAGUUUAGCUGGCUAGUGUGUUAUGACUUUUUUUAUUUACUAGGCUAUCGACAUUGUAAGAUACUGAAAAAUAAAAUGAACAAUAUCAAAUAAAAUAAUAAAGCAAAGAAAUAUCAUUAAAACGAAUCAGCUUAAUAUAUCUUAUUAAAUAAAGUUUACAUAUUCCACGUCACUCUGGAGAGGGGGAGUUUUCUUGCCACGUGUCGCCUCACCAAACAAACGAUUUCUGUGUAAUCCGGUCUUAUUCGAACUGGGCUUUUAUUAAAUUUUAUUAUUAAGCUCAAUAUUAUGUCAAGCUCACGUAUCAUUAGCUAUCUUCUUCCUUUCAAGCUUGCGACUUCCCCGAUGCAAUUUCCAGAAACUUAAAUCGAUGUUCCUAUCUCCGUAUCGUCUCAGCCUUCCAUUAAUCCGUUCUUAACUCAGAGUUUUUGCGUGUUUGAUCCACCCCUCUCACUGCAAAGUUUUGUUUUUGUUAGGGAAAAGGGAUGAAGUCAGAGCGUGCUGCCAAAUUGAUGCUAGAGGCGCUGCUUAUGCUGUUCCUGGCUCUCGCAAGACGGUGACUUGAGGUUCGGCUCCUUUGAAAUCUGUGUGUUCUUUGGUCGUUUAUAUUUUUAGUGCGUUAAGGUGUUAGUUUCUGCUUCUUGAGUUAGUUUUAAGCAAAGUGUUGAGUAUGGUACAACAAUCAAGCAUAAAAAAUCGUCGUUUUUCAGUAAAAUGAAAGUUAGAUUCUUUGAUGUGUGAAUCUGUGGCUAUGAUGUAUUAAAACAUAUUGGUUUGCAGGGAGAUAAUGUUACAAUGAAAUUAAGAUCGUAUGGAUAGUUGGAACCUCAUUUGCAGCUGAAGAAUAAGCAUGUCGGUUCAAGUUUCUUACACACAGCUCCUCAUAGAUGGAAACUUCGUCGACUCUGCUUCUGGUGAGUAAUAUUUUCAUUCAUAAACAUCGGAAUAACAAAGGAAAAUUUUGAAUUUUGAGAUUCAAGUUCCAUGAGCACUAAUGUUUGGUUUUGGAUUGGGAGUUUAAGUAAGACGUUCCCGACUCUUGAUCGACGCACAUGGAAAGUCAUUGUGAACGUAGCUGAAGGCGACACUGAAGAUAUCAACCAGGCGGUGAAAGCUGCAAGGAAGGCCAUUGAUGCGGACCUUGGCCAAAGAUGACCGUUGGAAUUCAUGGACCAUAGUCACCUACAAUGUGGUCACUGAAGCGUUCGGGAGAGAAGGAGCUUGAAAAAAUGGAAUAUUUAUUAAGGCUAAUGCAAUCAGAGAGAAUAAAACAGAGAUGCGUUCACCACUGUCAUUUUAUAAGGAUUUAUUAAAUAUAACUGAUUUUGAAGGGUACUUCUCAAAACUUUAUACUAAUCUCAGAUUAGUCUAUAAGUGAUUUAUAAACUGUACAAAUGAUUUAUUAACUUUUAUAAAAUAUUUAUAGAUCUUUAUAAAUUGUUAUGGACUCUUAUAAAAACUUUAUAGCUUCAAAUAAUGCAUCGAUAAGGUAGCCUUUAUGUUCUUAACAACAAAAAAUACAUUAUUUGUCUUCUACCAUGAUGCAAUCAUAUCUCACUUUUUUUAAAAGGGCAACCGCCUCGACACAAAUAGCAACUACAAUAUUAAAUUUUCAAAUUAAUCAAAAUGGCUAGUUAUAAAUGUCCAUAAAUAAAUUACAACAAUAGCGGUUUCAAAUCAGCAAUGGAACUAUUAUGCUCUCUUAUUUGCGAUCAUAUUUUCUAUUUCUACUGCAUUGAUCAAUGGCUUCGUACCGAUAAAAGUUGUUCCAUAUAUAAGAAAAGUCAUCUAUAUUUCAGAAUUAUUACAAUUUAUAAAGGAGUUUCUUAUGUUCCAAUUUUUAGUUUUAUUUACAUACUGUUUUUUUAAUUUUCGUUUUAAUUUUCAAACAAAAUAUUUUCUCAUUUCCUAAUAUGUUCCAUUGUCAGAAUAGGUUUCUUAUCAAAAAUCAAAUAAGAAGAAUAUAUAUAAAAAAAAAUUCAUUAUAUACGUUUAAAUAAAACAUCAAAUUUACUUUAUGUUUAAAUUUUAAUUAAAUUAACUAUGUAACGACUAUCAAUUUUUUACUCUACUUUUAUUGAAUCGAUUAGUCACAACCACUUAUGCUAUUAUACUUUGAAAUAAGCAAUUUCAAAACAAAUUAAUACAUUACGGUCGUUAACCACUGGACCAGAAAAUAUAUAAUUUUCUUUCAACAAAUUUCUGUUUUCAUAUUUUUGAACAUAUUUUCUUUACUAAAACCAUAAAAUGAAUUGUAAAUUCAUGUAAAAAUAAAACACACGAACCCCGGCGCUUACCACUAGUAUAUAUAUAUAUACACUUAAAAAGUCAUUUUUUUAAUUUGUGUGGGUCUAAGCCAAAGUUGGAAUAUUUUUGCUGUGGUUUUGGAUUCACUAGUUGCCUAGUUGCCAACGUUUUUAGUGGCAGAAAACUCAGGCUUUUAUAAAUUUAGUUGAAUUAUUCUGAUUUUGUCCAGAAAAUUUAACUAGAAAAACAAAUUUUGAAGAAAACUGUUUAAUAAUUUUGAUCUGAGAUUUGGGCUACAUAUAUAUUAUGUGCAUAUGUUCUUUUAUUUUUGAAACUUAUGCGCAUGUGUUCUUUAAAAGGUGAAAUCGAUAGCUCUCUUUCUUUAUCUACUUGAGAGUAUAAUUCUUAAUACUAACUAGAAGAGGGUAAAAAUAGUGAUAUGUGUGUUUUUGGGGUAUGCAAUGCAUUUAACUUUGGCUAUCGAGUCCAAAUAAAUAUAUAUAUAUAUAUAUACUAUCUAUUUGGGAAGUCAACAAAAAAUAAUUAACAAAAAUUGUCGUAGAAAUAAAAAAAUUAAGGGGAAUUUGUCAAAUAUAACUCAAAACUUGAUUUUAACCCCCAAAAUAUCACAAACUUGAAUCAAAUGCAAAAGUAACCCAAAAAGUUUGUGAAAUUACAACCAGCCCCCUAUGGUCAAAAAAAAAACCAUAAUUCACUUUUACGAAUAUAAUCUCGUAAAGUCUUCUGAGAUUUUGUAAGUCCUCUAUGGUUCUGUAAGUUUUCUGGAAGUCUUUUCAUAUAGUAGACCUUAAAAAUAAGGGAGAAUUGCCAAGUGUGACUCAAAACUUGGAGUCAAACCCAAAACAAUACCCCAACUUGGGUCAAACGCAAAAGUAACCUAAAAGGCUAUUGAAAUUACAACUAUCCCCUUGUGACCAAACAAAAAAACGGAAUUUUUUUUACGUUUCUACCCCUCGCAAGUCGUCUGUUUAGACGACUUGAAAAUAAGUCGUCCAGACGACUUAACUGAAAGUCGUCUGGACAGUUAGUCUUAAACAUAAUUUAAAAAUUUUGUAAAAAAUAUUUUGAUAAGUGAAAAAUGGGAAUUAUGUAAUUAACAUAUGUCUUAGGAGGUAUAAAUUAAGAUAUAACAAAUUUCAAUUGUUUUCAGCAUAGAUGAGUGAAAGUAGUGAGUCAUGAUAUUCUUUAGUUUAUGUUUCAUCAACAUAUGUUGUAGUAUUGUAUGUGUUCUUAGGGUUAGAUUUUGGAAAGCAUUAAAACCGUUUUUGAAAAUUUUUAAAAUUACUUAUCCGUGUUCAUUUCUGUGUAUAGUAAACACUAUUUAAGUAUAAUUUGAUUUUAUAACGUGGUUAGUUAGUUAAUCUAGUCAUUUUAGUUUAGGGGUUCAUUUUAGGGUCUAGGACGACUUAAUAUUUUGUCGUCUGAAAACAGACGACUAAAUAUUAAGUCGUCUGUUGUACAUUAUCAGCCAGAAUAAGUCGUCUAAACCGGACCAAACCUUAAAGUUUACCAAUGUACUUUUAAAGCUAACCGGAUUAUUUACCCAAUAUAUAAGGUGAUUUUUUUUUUUUUUGUUUCAUUUUUCGCGAAAUUCAGAAACCCUAACAGUUCUCUCUCAAAGGCGAUUUCGAAUUCCCACGAUUUCCGAACAAACCAUCGUUCUCAACGUCGGCUAUCUAUCUCACUUCAUUCUCACCGUUGUCGCCGCAGCUUCUUCUAACCCUAGCGCCGCCGAUUCCUCUAAACCCUAGCGCCGCCGAUUCCUCUAAACCCUAGCGCCGCCGCUUCCACUAUUUCCGAACAAACCGUCGCCCUCGCCACCGUGGUCACCAACGUUCUCACCGCCGCUUCCUCUAAACACUAGCGCCGCCGCUUCUUCUAAACCCUAGCGCCGCCGCUUCUUCUCUGUAAACCUUAGCGCCGUUUCUCUGUAAACCCUAACGCCGCUAAGUCAUCAAUCUCGAGGAAAAGAUGAACAUAAAACGUUGUCUCUAUCAAUUUACUCAUUCUCACCGUUUCACGUUUAUUUUUUCAGAUCUAUAACCGCAAUGACGAGUACUCCAACUCCUUCUGCGACUGGAAGACUUGUAAGUAAUUUAAGUCGUCCGGCUUUGUCUUCCAACUGGACGACUUAGUAGAUGACUUAAAUAUAAGUCGUCCAUUUGGAAGACUUUCCAGACGACUUAAAUUUAAGUCGUCUACUAAGUCGUCUGGACUUAUAUUGUUGUCUUUGAUUAUUUUGCAGACAAAAAGGAUGGAUAUUCCAGAACUCCCCCGUAGGUUAUACACAUCAGGGGAAGAGCCAGAAGCCCACAAUAGCAUUUCGUAUCAUACGGAUAACAGCAAGUUGCAUACUGCUCUUAGGAAAGCUCUUACUGAUGACGAAUUUGAAGAGCUCAAGGAGUCGAGUUUGGGAGUUUUCAUCAAGUUCAAGGAGCAGGGAUUUGGUUGGGCUUCAAGGCUGGUUCACUACAUGCUCAGUUUCAAGCUGGACAUUAAGAAGAAGUAUGAGAUGUGGUCUCUCGUUGGUCCAGAACCUUUGAGGUUUUCACUGUUAGAGUUUGAAAACCUCACUGGUCUAAACUGCGAGUACAUCGAGGACCUUGAGACACCAAAAUGUGACGUUACCCCAGAGAUGGUUUCUUUCUGGGGGAUGCUGGGAGUUCAUCUGGAAGCUGGGCCAACUACUGAUCAGAUAAUAGCAGCACUGAAGAGAUGCGGGGAUUGGUCCAGGGAAGAUCGCAAGCGGCUCGCGUACCUCUCCAUCUUCACUGGAUUCAUUGAAGGGAGAAAGUUUUCAACCGCUACACGAUCUACUCUGGCAAGGCUAGUGAUGGAUUUAGAACGGUUUGAGAAUUAUCCAUGGGGGAGAGUCGCGUUUAAGGUGCUGAUGGACUCUUUGUGGAACAAAGAAAUUGCUGGCUGUUACACCGUGGAUGGGUUUAUACAAGUUCUUCAAGUCUGGACGUACACAGCUAUGCCGGAAUUGGGUGCUAGUAUUGGUGGUCCCAGAGCAGACAGUCCGUCUCCACCGAUACUGGCUUACGAGGGCAGCAGAGGCCGCAGAUCAAUGAAAGCUGCUAUCUUGAGUCAGGUAUUUACUUCAAUCCAAAAGACUGCGCAGACGACUUAUUAUAAGUCGUCUGGAAGGUCGUCCAGCUUGACGACUUAUUAGACGACUUAUAAUAAGUCGUCUGGAAAGUCUUCCCAGCUGGACGACUUAUCGGACGACUUAAUUAAGUCGUCUGGAAAGUCUUCCAUCUGGACGACUUAUUAGACGACUUAUAAUAAGUCGUCUGGAAAGUCUUCCCAGCUGGACGACUUAUCGGACGACUUAAUUAAGUCGUCUGGAAAGUCUUCCAUCUGGACGACUUAUUAGACGACUUAUUAUAAGUCGUCUGGAAGGUCUUCCAUCUGGACGACUUAUUAGACGACUUAUAAUAAGGCGUCUGGAAAGUCUUCCCAGCUGGACGACUUAUCGGACGACUUAAUUAAGUCGUCUGGAAAGUCUUCCAUCUGGACGACUUAUUAGACGACUUAUUAUAAGUCGUCUGGAAGGUCUUCCAGCUGGACGACUUAGUAGACGACUUAUAAUUAAGUCGUCUAUUUAGUAUUUUUUUUCAAAUAUCUAACUCGAUUCUUCUAUUUACUGCAGACCCGCGUGAUCAACUUUGUUGAGAAGGACAUUAGUGAAAUGUGGCCAAAAUGGGACUCUGAGGUUGAGGACCUGCCCGCGGAGAACAUCAUUAAAGUCAUGUAUGAGCGGAGACCGUGGAAGUGGACCAUGGAUUGCUGGGAAGUCACUGGUACUAAGGUCAAUACAAAACCUAAGGUUGUGACUCCAUCGAAGAAGGCCAAAGAGAUGGUUGUGGUGUAGGAGGAGGAGGAGGAGGAGGAAGACAAUCCAAGACCUCGGAAGAAAGCUCGUAAAGAGGCUCCUAAAGAGGCUAGUGAAGAGGCUAGAGAAGAGGCUAGAGGGGUGACCAGAGAGGAGUUGGAAAUUAUGUUCAAGGGCGUAGCUGACUGCAUGAAAAAAGGGUUUAAUAAGUGCAUGAGGGAGUUUAGGAAGUUGUCCGAUAGAUUGGAAGCUGUGGAGAAGAAGGUUGGUGUCACCAAUCAGGCUACCCCUCCACCUCUAACCAAUCAGGCUACCCCUCAAGAUAAACAGCCUACCCCUCUUGCCAAAGAAACCGGGGGUAGAAACAAACAGGCUACCCCUCAUGCCAAUGAAACCGUGGUUAGUAACCAGCCUCCUCCUCAUCAAACCAAACAGCAGCCUCCUCCUCCUCAAAAGAAACAGCAGCAGCCUCCUCCUCCUCAAAAGAAACAGCCUCCUCCUCAAAAGAAACAGCCUCCUCAAAUCAAAGAGGUUAGUAUCAAAUCCAGGGUUAACUAGUUGUCCAGACGACUGUAAAAGUUGUCUGGACGACUAGUUGACCCUGGACGACUUAAACGUAAGUUGUCUGGACGACUAGUUGACCACGGAAGACUUAAUUUUAAGUCGUCCAGGGUCAACUAGUCGUCCAGACAACUUUUAUUUAAGUCGUCCAGGGUUAACUUGUGUGCAACUUUUAUUGCAGAGAUGGUUGCCGGAGGAUACAGCAACCGAGGCGAACUCGGUAAAUAAGAUCUUGCCGGAGGAUAAAGCAGAUGGUGUCACCUCCAAAGAGAUUGUUGCUGUCACUUCCACCGAUCACCAACCGAGCCUCGCUUCCACCGAUCAACAACCGAGCCUCGCUUCCACCGAGCCAAGCGAUCCAGUUUCAGAACCGAGCCUGGUUGUAUUGGACAAGCGUGCAAAGAGUAAACGAGCGAAGAAACCUGCUCCCACUGUGAGAUCUCCUUAUACGGCAGAGAAAAAAAAAGAUAAAGUGGCAGCCUAUAAUCCAUUUCCGCCAGUAAACAAAGAUAAGUUGAAGGAACUCGCUGAUUGGUUGAAAACUGAUCCGUAAGUGAUUGCUUUACCCAUAAUAGCUUGAUUUAGUCGUCCAAAACUGAUUGCUUUUUUGUUUGCAGUCAUUAUUUAACUAAGACCGAGGACAAACCACGUACAUCACCAACAAGGUGGUACCACUUCCUCCGGACAGCCAGAGGAUGGCUGGAAGACUGCGUAAGUCUUCUGCACACGAUUUAAGUCGUCUACAAAGUCGUCCAAGUAGACUACUUUCCAGACGACUUAAAGAUAAAUCGUCUGGAAAGUCGUCUACUUGGACGACCACGUAGACGACUUAAAUAUAAGUCGUCUUCGUCUGGUAACUUCUAACUUGUUAUAUUUAAUAUGCAGCAUAUAGAUGCUUGGAUUAAUGUGCUAAGGCAGAGGUAUCAGGAGAACCCACAAGCUUUCAGGAGCGAGCGAAUGUGCUUCCUGGAUCACAACUUUUCUCAGUCUUGGAGAGAGCAGUAUCAGCUCUUCAAAACAUCGGAACCUGAUCACAAAGGUUUAGGAAGAGUUCUACCUGGUGGGGCGUCGUAUUUUUAUGACGGAUCAAUACCUUCAUUUUGCCAAUCAAACAAGAAGUGGGGGGAGGACAUUGAUGAUAUCUAUGCGCCAGUGAACUUGGACGACAAGCAUUGGGUUGCUAUUUGGAUAUCGAUCCCUAAGAGGCACAUAGUCGUCUGGGACAGCAUACCUUCAUCUAGUGUACCAGACGCAUGGGAUGCGAUAAUGGAGCCUUUUCUCCAGAUGGUCCCUUAUCUGCUUGUUGAGUGCGCAGCCACCGACGAAAUGCGGGUCAAAUACGGGUUGGAGCCAUACACAUAUGAGAGACCUCUGAAAGGUGUACCCACGGCCAACAAUGGUGAUUGUGGCGUGUACACUGUAAAGUACAUUGAAUGUCAUGCGCUCGGGGGCUCCUUUGACCCUAAAGACUUUGCUAGGUGCAACGCGAAGAAAAUGAGGGAUAAUAUGGCGGUGGAUAUAUGGAAGGAGCUUGUUGAUCAGCAUCUGAAAGAAAAUGUGGAUGGUGAUAAGUUCGUGGGCAUGUAUGAUUAGAUUUGUAUUUGAACAUGAUUUUUUAACAUGAGUUUUGUAUUUGAACAUGAUUUUUUAACAUGAUUUUUGUAUUUGAACAUGAUUUUUUAACAUGAUUUUUGUAUUUGAACAUGAUUUUUUAACAUGAUUUUUGUAUUUGAACAUGAUAUAAGUUGUCUGGAAGAAAUAAGUCGUCUGGAAGGUUUUCCAACUGGACGACUUACAAAUAAGUCGUCUAGAAGGUUUGGACGACUUAUUAUAAGUCGUCUGGAAGGUUUUCCAACUGGACGACUUACAAAUAAGUCGUCUAGAAGGUUUGGACGACUUGAAGGGAUAGUAGAAGGUCGUCUAAAAAUAAAAUACACUUGAAGGGAUAGUAGAAGGUCGUCUAAAAAUAAAAUACACUGGACGACUUAGUAGAAGGUCGUCUAAAAAUAAAAUACACUUGAAGGGAUAGUAGAAGGUCGUCUAAAAAUAAAAUACACUGGACGACUUAGUAGAAGGUCGUCUAAAAAUAAAAUACACUGGACGACUAAAAAUUUAGUCGUCUGGACGGGUAAUCAAGACUGGACGACUUAAAUUUAGGUCGUCUGGACAACUAGUCAACUGGUUGUGUACAUUGUGGUUUCGUAUGGCCAGUUUCCUUGCAGUUUGAGCAUCUCCGUGCCCUGUGUUUCUUCCUGGGUUUGUGUCCUCUCAUCCUAGAUAGCUCCAACCAAGAUUGCCAUCUUGAUUUCUUCGGUCUCCCCCGACCACGCUUUAGUUCUGGAGGAAAGCAUUCUCGUUCCUCAAUAUGUUGUGACACGAUAGGAUAUAUAUUCUCUGAGUAUCCUGCAUACAGAUAAUUCUUUGAGUACAGUGGACAUACAAGUGUGGAGAUAUGCAAACCAGCAUGUAUUCCAGCAGCUAUAGCAUGAGAGCAAGGUAUUUUCUCCACUCCAUAGACACCACAAUCACACUUUGCAUGUUCCAAAUCAACCACACAGUCCAUUUUGCCACCUUUGACAAAGAAAUGCCAUCCAUCAAUUGGUUCAACCGUCAUCGUACCCGCUAUCUCUUCUCGAACAGCAAGCAAGUAUUCAACACCCCCGCUAUGUUCAGUUGUGAGACUCAAAGCAUCUUGUCUCCUUUUCCAAUACCAUUUUCCUAACUUCUGCCUUAUGAACUCCAGCAGGAACGUAAUCGGAAAUCCUCUUGCUCGCUUCAGUGCGGAAUUAAUAGAUUCAGCAAUGUUGCUUGUUUUUAUGUUGAACCUGUUCCCCUUACAAUAAACCCUUGACCAUAGCCUGACGUCGGCUUUCUCCAAAUACGUUGCAAGUUCCGGGUUUGCACUCCGUAUCUCAGCCAUGUACCGGUCAAAAUCGUAAACCGUGUGAGCAUAAGCAGCCCCUUUCACCAAGUACAUGAGAUGUUUCCCUUUAAACUUUUUGACAAUGUUAUCUUGAAGGUGAUAAUAACAUAUUCCUCGGGUUGCCCAAGGAAACACCUUAUCACACGCACUUUUAAUGGCCUUGUGCCGGUCGGAGACUAUCACCAGAGGCUUGUCAUGAGAUAUACAACUAGCCAAUUUUGUGAAAAACCAUUCCCAAGAAGGUAUAUCUUCCUCAUCCACGAUCCCAAAAGCCAAUGGGAAUAUCUGAAAAUUGCCAUCUUGUGCGGCUGCAACUAACAUAGUUCCUCCAUACUUUCCACUUAGGUGAGUUCCAUCCACCACAAUGACCCUUCUCUGAUACUUAAAACCUUUGAUAGAAGCUCCAAAAGAGAGAAAUAGAUACUUAAAUCUUUUCAUAGAAUCAAGUUCUAUCGCCGUGAUAGAAUCAGGAUUUGCAAUGGAGAUUUGCUCGAGAUAUGAUGCCAGACGCGAAUACCCUUCUUCUGCUGAUCCUCUCACCAAUCUUUGUGCAUAUAACAGUGCUCUGUAUGAAGUGGUGUAAUCAAGCGCCAUGCCAAACAUGUUCCUCAUUGCAUCAGUGAUAUGCUGCGGAGUUAUCCCAUCAAUGAUUCCAACACGAUCAAUGAAAAGACUACCUACAUACUUCGGAGUACAGUGUCUCCGCUGAGCGAUUCGGUCUCCCGCUGAGCAUAAAUGUUUUUCCACAUACUUUGUUACCCAAAACGUGUUUGUCCCAUGUUUGACACUCGCUCUGACCUUCCAUCCACAAUAGCUAACCGGACAUGUUGCCACAACGAGAGUUUUCGUUGAUUUGUAUAAUCUGAAAGAAAACUUACCCCUCACUGCUGCCAACCGCAGCUCUGAAAGCAGUGCACCCUUGCUAACAAAACUCUGGUUGACAUAGAUACUGGUACCAUUCGAUUUUCCUCCUUCAAUAGCAUUUGUCUUAGCAUAUGUCUUUUGGAUUUCUUCAAAACAAAUAUUAUCAUCAUCUUCCUCGUCCUCAUCUGGAACCUUUCCAUAAAGACUGUAAUCCCCACCAUUCUGAUCCGUUUCACCAACAAUAGAAUUAUCAGCAUCCUCCUCCCCAUUUUCCUCCUCCCCAUCUUGAUUUUCAUCUUCAACAAACUCAUUAUCACCAACAUCUUCAAAACAUUCAUCAGCUUCAUCAUCAUCACCAACAUCUUCUUCCCAUUCACCAGCUUCAUCAUCAUCACCAACAUCUUCUUCCCAUUCACCAGCUUCAUCAUUAUCACCAACAUCUUUUUCCCAUUCACCAGCUUCAUCAAUAUCCCUUUUCUCUGAAACCGUUUCGACCUUGCUGCGGCUUGAUACACAAAGACAUACUCUAUGGGUUUUGAGUAUCUCCAGCAAGUUUCGAACUUGUCUAUCACUUGUAACAUGAAUGGGAAGACUGCCUGGAGCCAUCAUCAUUUCUGCUGGUAAUGAGUAGCUAAUCUCCACACUCACUGUUCUCAUGUCCAGGUUAUAAUCUUCUUGAGCCAUUGCAACAAGUUCAGCAUGUGUUGAAUCUUCAUUCAAUAAAAACAAUCUUGCUCCUUUGAGAUCAUCAACCACAAAAUCCCAACGGAAAUCUCUCAACAACCAUUCUCCAUACACUGCAUGUAACUGAAAAAUCAUCUGCAAAUAUUCAAAAUAAAACACAUUAGUAAACAUAGAGAAAAUGAAGAAGUUCAAUAAACAUUGCCGCAGACGACUUAGCAUUAAGUCGUCCAGAAGACUUAAAGGUAAGUCGUCUAAAGAGGUCACUUUUGCAAUUGAAAAUUAAAAGGGACGACUUAAUUCUAAGUCGUCCGGCUUUGUUUGUUAAAAAAAAAACUUCAGACGACUUAUAUAUAAGUCGUCUACGAGAAACGGGCUAGUUUUGCAUUUGACCGAAUCGUGUCAGAUCUUUGACUAUUUCUGGACGACUUAUAAUUCAGUCGUCUCUGGGAAAGUUAAAAUUUCAAUAUUUUAUGAAAACUUGACGACUUACGUGUAAGUCGUCCUAGGUUAGUUUUGUAAUUGAAAAAUAAAACUUGAAAUUUAACUUUCUCCAGACGACUUAGAUGAAAGUCGUCCAGCUAAACGACUUAAUUUAAGGUCGUCCGGGAUAAGCAAGGUUUGACCAGAAAAUUGGGAAAAAUUCUGGACGACUUCGCUUUCCCCGGACGACUUUAAAUUAAGUCUUCUGGAGGGACGACUUUAUAUUAAGUCGUCUGGUUAAAGUUAAAUUAUGAAGUUUUAUUUUUCAAUUACAAAACUAACCUAGGACGACUUACACGUAAGUCGUCAAGUUUUCAUAAAAUAUUGAAAUUUUAACUUUCCCAGAGACGACUGAAUUAUAAGUCGUCCAGAAAUAGUCAAAGAUCUGACACGAUUCGGUCAAAUGCAAAACUAGCCCGUUUCUCGUAGACGACGUAUAUAUAAGUCGUCUGGAGUGUUUUUUUUUAACAAACAAAGCUGGACGACUUAAUUUAAGUCGUCCGUUUGACCAGAAGACUCAUCAGUAAGUCUUCUACAUACAGAUGACUUACUAGUAAGUCUUCUACGCGAACAGAUCUUGAAAAAAAAUUCAAAUUCGUACCUUAAACUAGGUGAGAUGACUUUGUUUGCACACAAGGUCUUCUCCAACCACCCAGAACCUCAAACGAAAGCAACCGUAAGUCAAAACGAAAGAAAUAUGGCUCUGUCAACCAUAGCCCAUAUUUUGAAUCAAAAGCUUGAGUUUUUUGGAUGAAUAUAGAGAGAAAGUGAAAGAAAUGUUGUUUUUAGUUCAUAACAAUUGAAACAGAGAGAGUGUAAAGAGAUUUACGUGCAUUAAAGGGCAAUAAAAGCUCCAAACAGUUCGUACAAGGUUGUUGCCACUAUUCAUUGCAGUGGCAAUAUUGUAAAUACUUGAAGAAGAUGAGGUUGAGACAGUAAAGAAGCCAUUUUUGAAAAAAAAAAAAAAAAAUGUUAAUGGCAUUUUCGUAGAUAAAAUGCAGGUGUGGGGUUAAAAUCUCAAAAAAAAAAGGAGUCAAAAGAAAAGGUUAGUUUUCUGUUUGACUCCAAGUUUUGAGUCACUUUUGCAAAAAGCCCUAAAAAUAAUUUAUAAAUUUUGUAAAAACUAUUUUGUUAGAGAAAAAAUUGAAAUCAUGUAACUAUAAACAUUUGUAAGUGAUAUAAACUAAAAUAUAAUAAAAUUGAAUUGUUUUUAAUAUAGAUGAGUGAAAAUAGUGAGUCAUGAUAUUCUUUGGUUUAAGGUUUGACAACAUAUGUUGUAGUAUUGUAUGUAUUCUUAGAGUUAGAUUUUGGAAACUUAAUAUUUUUUGGAAAAAUUAAAUUUUGACAUAUACAUAUUUAGUUUUUAUAUAUUAAAUAUUUUUUAAAUUUAAUGAAAUGUUUGUUUCUAUUUAAUUAGUUAUUUGAGUUUAAGAUUUAUAUUUAGUGUCUAGACGACUUCCACAAAGUCUUCUCUGAAAAUCUUAUAACUCCCGCUAAAAAUAUUUUACUUUCCCGCUAAAAAUAUUUUAGUUUCUAGAAGACUUAAUUGAAAUUCUUCUAGGAAGUUUUCUAUUAGAAGACUUAAAUCGAAAAAAAUUAACCUUAUUAGAAUUUUUGUCUCCCUUUAUAAAGAAAAUUUACACAUUCUCUAUUUUCCUCUCAAAAGACUGCAACAAAAAUGUUAUGUUUCUUAUUCUAAAACUUUCAAACCUCUCUCUAAUCUCUUUGAACUUAAAAAUACCAAACUUUAUAUCAAUUUAUAGUUAUUUCAUGUUUCUUAUUGAUUUAUUUUGUUUUUGCAGAUUUUUCAUUUCAUGGUUCUUAUCUUCCACUCUUUUAAGGGUAGAUCUAUAAAUCUUAUUUUUCUUAUUUGGUAACCUAUUGUUGCUUAAAGAUUUUACCUUUUGAAAACUCUUUUGGUUAUUUUAAAUUCGUACUUUAUUUUUGAAGUUUUUCUAUGUUUUGAACUUUUGGAUAUGCAGGUUUUUUCAGAGCUGAGACAGACAUGGAAGACUUCCAUGGAAGACUUCCAGGGAAGACUUCUCGGAAGUCUUCUACCAUUUAAUGCACUAGAAGAUUUCCUGGAAGUCUUCUGGCGGAAUCUUCUCCCAUGUCUCCUCGUUCAUUUCAGAUAUGAGUGUUUUGGUAAGUAUAUAUGUCUAGAUUUUUCUUCAUUUGGUAACCUCUGGUUGCUUAAACCUUUUAUAUUUUUUACAAUUUAUCAUUUUUUUUGUAAACACCAAACUUUAUAUCAAUUUAUCAUUUUUUGUCUCAUGUCAUUCUCACUAAUUCAUCUUGUUUUGUAGAUUUUUCAUUACAUGGUUCUCAUCUUCCACUCCGUUAAAGGUAAAUCUAUAAAUCAUAUUUUCUUAUUUGGUAAUCUCUUGUUGAUUAAAGCUCUUUCUUUUUGAAAAUUCUUUUGGUUGUUUCAAGCUUUUACCUUAUUUUUGAAGUUUUUAUAUGUUUUGAAGACAUUUGAAUGGUUUUGGAUAUGCAUGUUUUUUAGAUCUAAGACAUAUUUCCUUAAAAAAUCUUCCAAGUCUUCUCGGAAAUCUUCUAACAUUUAAUGUACUAGACGACUUCCUGCAAGUCUUCUGGAAGUCUUCUGACAAAGUUUUCUCCCAUAUCAAGUGGAGUCUAAGCUUGUCUUUGUGGAGGAAUGGGAUAUAAUAGUUUUAUUUAUGGUAUGUUUUGUAAUUUGUAUGUAUACUCUUUUAGUUGUGAAUUCUUUUGUAAAUUUGAAAAAAAUAUUAACAAUUUUUUUGGUAAAUAUGUUCAUGUCUACAAUAUUAUCUUGCCAAAAAUACUUGCAUUAUUAAAGUUAUUUAUACAACUUCAAUAGCAAAACACAAUAAUACAAAAAAAUUAGUCAAAUUUAUUACAACUAAUGGAGAAAACUUCUCAAGAAAACUUAGUCAAAUUCACAAAAGAUCAAACAUUACAUUAGUUCAAACAUAUAACAGUUUCACUAGAAGUCUUGUGGGAAGUCUUCGGGAAGAUUUCUUCUCAGAAAAAAUUUCGGAAGACUUAAAUUUCAAGCAGAAAAUUUAAAUAUAAGCGGGAAAUUUAAGCGGAAAAUUAAAAUUUAAGCGGGAAACUCAAAUUUUAAGUGAAAAUUAAAAUUUCAAAUUUCAUGAAAGUUAAAAAAUAUAUCUUAUGAUCUAAGAAGACACAUCAAACCAUAUGACUUGAUAUUCUUAAAGUUAUUUAACACUUUUGAAAAUUAAAAAAUAUAUAUAUCUUAAAGUUGAAAAUACAAGUUUUACAACAACUAAUGUAGAAAACUUAUGGGAAAGUCUUCUCUCAUUAGGUAGAAACAUUAAGAAGCAUGACUGUUGUUAACUUCAUAAUUAUCACCAAUUAAGUUAUGAAUUUCAUUCAUGAGCCCAAUACAUUAAUUAACAAGAAAAUGUUAAAAAGUCUUUAUAGUUUUAGAGAAAAUAAAAUUUUAUUAAACGUUGACGUAGACGACUUCCACGGAAGUCGUCCGGAAGACUUACACGGAAAUCUUCUGGUCAAUGCGUAGGUUAGUUUUGCAAUUGACUUUAUGUGUCAGAAAUUUGACUUUUCCUAGACGACUUACGGAUAAACAUGUUAGUUUUGCAUUUGACCGUACUGUGUCAGAAAUUUGAUUUUUCCUAAACGGCUUACACGAAAGUCGUCCAAAAGAAAAGUAAAAUUUAAAUAUUUAUAUUUUUCUAGACGACUUCCAUGUAAACCGUUUCAGGUUACUUUUGCAAUUGAAAAAUAAAACUUAAAUAUUUUAUUUUAUCCGGACGACUUCCAUCACAGAAGUCUUCUGACAAACGACUCACACAUAAGUCUUCUGUAAUAACCAAGGUUUGACUAAAAUCUCGGAAUAAAAUCCUGGAAGACUUCCAUGUAAGUCUUCCGACAGACGACUUACAUAGAAGUCUUCUGUAAUAACCAAGGUUUGACUAGAAUAUCGAAAUAAAAUCCUGUAAGACUUUCGUGUAAGUCGUCUACCGGAAGACUUAUAUGGAAAUCAUCUGGAUAAAAUUAAAUAUUUAAGUUUUAAUUUUCAAUUGAAAAAGUAACCUGAAACGACUUAUUUGGAAGGUGUCUAGUAAAAGUUAAAUAUUUAAUUUUUAUUUUUCUGUUGGACGACUUCCGUGUAAGUUGUCUAGGAAAAGUCAAAUUUCUGACACAAUCCGGUCAAAUCCAAAACUGACAUGUUUAUCCUAGACGAUUUACCGGGAAGUCUUCUUUAAUUUUUUUGAAAACAAAGAAAACCGGAAGACUUCCAGAUAAGUCGUCUAGAAAAGAUACACAUAAAGUCAAUUGUGAAACUAACAUAUGCAUUGACCAGAGCAAAACUAACACAUGCAUUGACCAGAAGACUUCCGUGUAAGUCUUCUCGUCGGAGAAGACUUACACGUAAGUCUUCUGACAGACAGAUCUGGAAAAAAAAUUGAUUUCAUAACUUUAACCAGUGAGAUAACUUGUUUAGCUUCUCCAACCACACAAUACUUCACCACCAAAGCAACCUACUUGACCACGAAUCAUGAGCUUGAAUGGUUCGAAGAACCUUAAUAAUUUUAGAAUCAAAAUCUUGGGUUUUAUUAGAUGAAUAUAGAGAGAAAGUGAAACAGAUGUUUUUUUUAGUUCAUAAGAAAUAAGAUAAAGGAGUAAUCGAUUUUUAGGUGCAUUAAAAGCUUCAAAUUGGUUGUUCAUGGUGGUUGGUGUAUUGAUGGCAAUGACAAUAUUGUAAAUACUUGAAGAAGAUGGAGAUGAGAGAGUAAAACACUUAUUUUCGAAAAGAAAAAAAUAAUAAUAGCAUUUUCGUAAAUAAUCCGAACUUUUGGAGUGAAUAAGGCAAAUGAAAGUUCCAAAAAAACGUGGAUUAGUUUUGUGUUUGACUUCGAGUUUUGAGCCAUAUUUGCAAAAAUUAAAAUGAAAAAUUUGGAGUAACUAUUUAUUAAUAUAUAGAAAUAUAAAAGGUAUAGUAAAAAGUUAAAAUGUUAAAAUUAAAUUGAUAUCUAUAUUAACUCACUAAAAGUUUACAUCAAUAGAUUUUUACAGAAAAAGUUCACAAGUUUAUUUUUAGAAUAUAGUCUACAUGUUAUUGAGAAUGUUCAAGUAAACUUGUAAAAUAUAAAAACAAAUAUGGAAAAUUAAUGUCAUAAUUUAUUUAUUUUUAAAAUAUCAAUAUUUUUCAUAGAAGCAAAAUAUUUUCUUAAAUGUGAAAUAUUCAGUCAACAUAAAAAUAUUUAAUGUAUUAAAAAUACAAAAAAAAAUUAUUAAUAUAUAUAAAUUUAAAAGGUAUAGUAAAAACUAAAAACAAAUGUUAAAUUAAUUUGCUAUCAAUAUUAAUUUACAGGAAAAUUAGCAUCGAUAUAUUUUAACAGAAAAAAAGUUCACAAGUUUAUUUUACGAUAUAGACUAUAUGUUAUUGAGAAUGUUCACAUAGACUUUAAAAAUAUCAACAAAAUAUGAAAAUAACCAUUAUAAUUUAUUUCUUUUUAAAAUAUCGAGGGUUUUCAAAAAUAAAAAAAAUAUUACUAUGAAAUAAAAUGAACAUAAACAUCAAAUAUUGUAAACAAACAAAGAGAAAGUUAUCAAAAAUGAAUUAACUUGAUGUAGAUUUUUAUUCUGUAGAAGAGUAACAUUAAAAGAUAUUAAUAAAAACAUAAUAUAUCAUAUAUACCAAAAUAAAAUAGAUAACUAAUCUAUCAAAAUUAACCUAAUAAAAAAAUUAAAAGAAAAUUAAGAUGAAUUUUUGUAUGGGAACUUUUCUUAUUUCAAAAUUUUUGGUAUCAAUUUAAGUAAUAAUCUAAAUUUGGCAUCGUACUGAGUUGUUAAAUGCCAAUGAGUCUGAGAUGGUUGCAGUUAAAGAGAGGUUGCGGGAAAAUGUGGAAGAUGUCAGUUUCUGGAGAAGAAGCUCGGGUUUUAACGAUAAGUUUUCUACCCAGGAGACUGGUUUUUAACUCGUACCUCUGAUGCUCAUAUUGAUUGGGUACAAGCUGUUUGGUUCUUGCAGAUUACACCCAAGUAUGCUUUUAUUACAUGGUUAGCCAUGUUGGAUAGGCUAAGUACUAUGGACAGGGUUGCGAGAUGGAAUAGUGGUGUUGAUGUUACUUGUGCUCUUUGUAAGAAUGCUGCAGAGUCUCGUAGUCAUCUGUUCUUCGAGUGCUCUUACUCUUCUCAGAUAUGGGAGCAUCUUAUGCUUGGCAUCCUUAGGGGUUCGUAUACAAUUGACUGGAAUGCAAUUGUGGCUUUUCUUAAACAGUCUGAUAGAGAUAAGAAGAGAUCCUUUUGUUUGAGAUAUGGCUUUUAAACCAUCAUCUAUGUGAUAUGGCGUGAAAGGAAUAAGAUUAAGCACGGAGAAAGUCCAUUGCCUAUGAAUGCAGUGAAGAAGCUUAUUGAUAAGAGAGUUAGGAACAAGUUAAGCCUACUGAGAUCAAGAGGAGGUAAGGGUAUGGAAUCUGCCCUUCAAUAUUGGUUUAGCACAAGGACAUGAGGUUUGGAGGUUUGGGAAUACUUUGGAGGUUUGGGAGGGUUUGAAGUUAUUGAGUUUAAAGAUAGGAUUUCCUUUGUUAAGGUCUACACUCUGAUGUAAAAAAACUUUUUUGAUGAAUAAAAUUUAACAUUCAUUCAAAAAAAAAAAAUCUAAAUCUAUAUAUAUAAAAAAAUAUUUUCCUCCCUCCUAUUGCGCCACGUCAUAAAGUCAUUGAUUGUGAGUGCGACACCUGUCUUCUUUGCCUAAAACUCAUCGUUUCAUUAACUUAUGAUGUGGGCUGCUGCGUUUCAUAAUUGUUUACGAUUUAGUGGGCUUUUUGUUCACACCGUGAUAUAGCCCAAAUACAGAGAGAUAGCCACUAUAAUGAAAACAUAUGUAAAGACUGAAACUUUUGAAACGAGAAGGAAAAGAAGGAGUGUACCGUGAGUUUCUGGAUGCUACUGACUUCGCCUUGGUUGGAGGCGAUAUCAACGGUGACGGUUCAUUUCGCUGCCACCUCUGGUAACUCAAUAACAUUCAAGAUUUUAAAAUUAUUGGCGAUGGGUUUUGCAGAGUAUGAAGAGGCAGAGGGAAGAGGAUGAUGAGCAACAACAGUGAAGAGGUUAAAAAAGAAAAUUGAACCAAUUAAUAAAAAUAUUCCACAGUUUAAGCGGCGAGUAAAUCAGAUCGGUUUCUCAAUUCCGCUAUGACUCGAUCAAGAGAGAAAUAUAGUUUUUUCCAAAGAAACAUAGAUAUUAUCAAAGCAAAGAUUGCUCCGAACGAAUCAUAAGAAGAUAAGGAAGCAAUCAAAGGUUUUUAUUUCAUUUUUUAAUUAGUUAUUUGGAGUUAACAUGAAUGGAAGUGCCAUACACGCGCAGAGACAUGCGUGUUGGUGGGAUAUGAGAUACAUAUUUUAAACUUAAAAGGGAAAAAGACAGGAAGCAAUGCGUUCUAUGCACAUUGGGUCUUUUCUUUUGAGCCUUUUGUUUCAAAUAAAAACGACAGGACAUAACCGGAUUUACUUCGGUUUAAUUUAGAUUCGAUUCAACUUAAAUGCAUGCAUGAUUUUAAGCUACACAAGUUUUAUUCAAUAAAUAAACCAACAGAAAAUUUUAUUGUAAGAAAUUGGGUUAAUUGGAAUUCAUAAGGCAGAAAACAAUAAAUAAUUAAAAAUAAUUUUAUAAUUAUCUAGCUACUUAUAUUUAUAUAAUAUUUAUAUAUCAAAAUAGCAUAAAUAUACGAUUAUAAUUAAUAUUUAAAUAAAAAAUCCGGGCGUAAUUAACCCGGGCCGACCCUAGUUUAUAAUAUAUUUCAAAGUAUCUAAAAUAAACUAAAACGACUGAUGAUUUUAGUUCUUUUCUUUCUACCGAUCCACUUCAUUCUUUAGCUUUCAAUGAGUUUACAAAACUUUUGUUGAAAAACCACAGAUAAGAACAAUAUUGAGACACAUAUUGUUAAAAAGAUAGUUUAUCAAUGAGUUUAAGCUGUUUUUUAUCAAUCAAAAGGAAUUUAUAAAGUUGUUUUUAAUAGUCAACACUAUUAUAUUAUGUUUUGAGACAAUCAAAACCUUCAAACAAAUCAAAUAGGGUAUUAUGAAGUAAACUUAAAGAUGGGUGUACUCUAUACUUUAUUUUUUUAAAUUACAUCAUUAACAAUACAGCAAAUUACAUGUUAACUUCUUAUAAACAUAUAAUCCGAGUAACCAAUAAAAAGUAUAAAAUGAAUGCUUAUGUCAAUUUUAGUGAAGAAACCCGUACAAUAUAUAAAAUUAAAGAUGGUCUCAGACGAGUUUGUCAAACAAAUAUAUUUAGAGGAUAAUAUUUAUAAGAUAGGUGAAAAAUAAUCAAAAUAAACUUUCUAAAUAAGUUUCUAAAAUUACAGAAAGUAAAUAUAGACUCCACAAAAACAUAAGAGAGUGAUAUAAAAAUAGUCAAUAUACUAACAACAAAGUAAAAACAGUGAAAUUUUACAAAAUUCUAUAAAAAGUUCAAAAUUAAAAUAAUUAUGCCAUGUAAGAAAGGGCCCCUGUAAGAAAUCUACUAAAACUUUACUCUAAAUUACCAGAUGAAAGCAAUUGUCAGGAUUCAAAAAGUCUUAAGAAGCUUCAUGUAUUAUAAAAAUAUUUACAAUAGUAUUCUAGUUAAAUAAAGCUAUGUAUUAAAACAUUUAUCUUAAAUAUUUAUAAUCUUUAUCAUAAAUCUUUACAAUAUCUGUAAAUCUUAAUUUAAAAUUAAUUAAACAAUAAAAUUUCAACUAAAAUAUGUGCAAAAAAAUAUAAAAGAUCACACAUUUAUUGUAUAACUCUCAUAAGUAAAAAAGUAAAAUAAAUAAUAUGCAUAUAAAUUAAUCGUUUAUAAAAUAAGUAAAAAUUAUAAAAAAAAAUAUUUGCAAUAGUAUAGUAGCGGUUUAUAUGCAUUGAGUAAUUUAUACAGUAUUUAAAAAAUGGCAAUUCUCUCAAAUAGACUUUUUUAAGUUUUUAUCACAAAAAUAGCCCUCAAAAAAUAAAAUGACCAAAAUAACCUUUUUAUUUUGAAAAUUUUAAUAUUUUUUUUAUUUUUAAAAAUUUGAAUCUAUCCCCAAAGCCCAACCCCUUAACUCUAAACCCUAAGUCUUAGAUUAGUUAACUCUAAGGGUAUAAAUGCAUAUUUACCUUUCAAUAAAAUUUCUUUUGGUCAUUUUCUUUCUUGGAAGUCUAUUUUUGUGAAAAUAAACUAAAAAGGGCUAUCUAAGAGAAUUUCUCUUUAAAAAAUAAAAUUUUAUAUAAUAAAUAUAAAAAUGAUUAUAAAUAAAAUUUUAGUUUUAAAAAUACAGACAAAUAUAUACUAAAUAGUAAUUAUUUUCAAGAGUAUAAUUUUAUAAACAAAAUAAACGUAACUAGUAAAUUAUUAUAUUAUAUUUUAAAUAAAUUUUCCAAGAAAUAAAAUUUAUAUAAAUAAAAAUUUAUAAAUCAGUUCUAGUUGAAAACUUUUUUUAAAAAAAUUUAAACAAAAUUAUUAAUACAGAUUCGUGCGUAGCGAACAUAAAAUAUAGUUCACAUAAAAAGAUUAUGUGAUAGGAAAUUAUCGCUCAAGAUUGGUCCCAAGCAUAGGCUAUUGAAACACUGGCUUAUAAUUUCCAAAAUAUUAGGAAAAAUUUACAUAUAUAUAGAUCUUUAAAUUUGCAAAAAAAAAGAUUAUGUAAUUUUUUUUUAAAUUAACUACAACCUCUAAAAUUUCAGGUAUGCACUACUAUGAUAACAUAAAAGAAAGUUAGAAACAACAAUGAAAUACGUCAUUUCUUGCGGCCCUUUUACAAACAAAACAAAGCCAUCCCGUAAGGCACGCAUGAGCCACUUGCGGCCCUUUUUACACACAAACAAAACCAUCCCACAAGGCACGCAUGAGUCAUUAGCAAUGAACAAUAGUGCCAUCGUAAAAAAAAACAGUAGCAAAAUCGAUAAAAUAGGAAAGUUCAAAAUAUAGUUGUACUUGUGAUUUGCACCAGAAGUUUCAAUGGUUUUUCUCAUAGUGCCUUAUGUAAAGAACAGUUUUUAUAAGUAAUACCUAGUACGUACUGUAUAUAUAUGUAUUAAGCACAGCAAAGUUAUCACCGGUUCUAAACUUUUUCUUCGGUUCUAAUAUUCUCCCUCUGAACGAAACUAAUAUCCAAACAUGCAAAGAAUCGGGAGGAUUGGGAAGGUCAAAGAAAAUAACACACGACCGGUAAAUGUGGAAGAAACACGAGAAUAGUGGUGGUUUUGGAGACGGAAGAAAGAGAAACGGUAAACCAAGUCAUCUUGGUCUAGUGGUAAAAGGAUUCCAGUUGGAGUUUUCGUUCUGGUUUCGAGUAGCAUUAGCCACCUGUAGACACUCUAAGUGGCGAGAAAACUCGGAUUUCUAUGGACCUCGUAGGAUUAUUCUUUGGGCUUAAAAAGCCUUUGAAAUCCCCACGAUUAUCAGAAGAAAAAAAAAUAGUACAAGCAAAACCAUAAAAAAAGGAAGAAGAGAGAGAAAGAGGAGAGUUCUCGUACGGUACGGUAGACGAAAGGCCGUACUGACGAUGGAGGUUAAAUCUCAUCCUAAACGGGUUGAGAGAGUUUCACCUUUUGUUUUUACCGCAAACUCAGUGUACUCCUCAGUAUAGUUAAACAGUGAUAAUAUCUAGAUAAUAAAAGUAUAGUGAUCAGUUUAAUCGGAUGUAUUAUGUUGAAGCAAGUACAUCGCAUCAAUUGGGUCAUAUCAAGUGUGUCACAUAAAGUUUAUGGAUCUUACAUCUGAUUGUUGAGCUUAAGGCCGUGUAUCUGAUGAGCCCUAGAGUUUUAGGAUGCGGAAUAACUUUUAUAUAUAUCAUGUAUUCUUGUAAUCCUAAAAUAAAUUGAAUAUUGCCUCCAAAUAACAAAAAAAAAUUAUUUCUAGGCAUAGCCAAAUUGAUGAACCACAUUACAUAUAUUGUUGUAUCUUUGUUCAUAUAUAUUGUUGUGUCUUUGUUACAUCAUUUUAUCAUUUGUUUUAAUGCAACAUCACGACCAGUCUUAUGUUUUAAGAUUUGAGUUACAGUUAUAAAUAAAGUUUCUAUCAAAAAUACAAGUGAAAAUAAUAAAAUCCUAAACACUCCACGUACAGAUUUAUGUUAUAUGUUAUACUUUUUGUUUGUAUAUAAACUAUUAUUUAUAUUUCCAAAACCACCAUAGCAAUAUCUUAUUCUUAUUUCUACAAAUAAACAAUAUUAUCAACUUCAUCUAAUUUUGUGUUAGUCAAAUAUUUUUAUUUCCUUUCUUGUUCCUAUUUUUGAAUUAUUAGUUUUAAAAUUAUUAUUUUACAUAAUCUUAUUAGUUGUAAAUUCUUUUGGAUUGGAAAUAUAUAAAUUAUUUUGUUAUUGAUAUCGGAUAAAUAAUAUCAUCAGUAAGUAUAGUUCUUAGAAGAAUAUAUAUUGCAACUUAUUUUUGUUAAAAAUUAUUUUUAUACAUAUUAAAAAUAAGUUUUUAUUAUUUAUUUAUUUUUAAAUAGUUUAAUAGUUUUUGUUAUUAAUAAUAAUUCAUUAUUAUAUAUUUAUAUUUAUAUUUAUUUUAUUAAAAACUACUCUGGAACUUAUACAUCAAAAAUGUUACCAGUCAUCAGUUUUACUAAAAUAGUAACUCUUGUUUUUACUAAAAAUUUACCAUAUAAAAUUACAGUUUUUAUCACAUAAUUUUUACUGCAAGUUAUAUCGAAUUGUAAUACAUAUUGCAACUCGACUUCAAUAUUAUAUAUCAACAAACGGAGCCUUUGUUUCCAUAUAUCUGUAACAACAUACUAUCUCAUGUUGAGCAUAGGUAGACUUAUGUGAACAAAAGUCUUUAAUGUUUGUCUCAGGUGAAGAGAAGUCUCAAAACCAUAGUAUUUACGGGAAAAAAUCAAAUGUGUGUGGGAAAACCAAUGUAACUUGCAAACAAAAUAUACGUUAAUAGAAAUUUGGACUUUACAUAAGUACAGCAAAUAGUCUUUAGUUAUGAAUUAAAAGGCUAUAUUCACUAUUUCACUUAGUUAAUGGGUUUCGAACAUCAUUAUGGUUUUCUUAACACCACAUGGCAUGAAGAUUCUAUGAGAAUCUAAGAAUGAAAUGAUUAAGAUAGAACUUGAGUAGAUUAUGAGAGAUUAUGAAGAGUUUAGUGUAGAAUCAUGAUUGAGAGAGUAUGAUAAGAUAAAGAGAAACUCAGAACUGUAUAUUUAUUAUUAAUGACAAGAGUUGCAAUAUAUAGUGAGAGAUCAGUAGGGUUUUCGAAAUCAUAAAGGAUAGCUAAGCAUGUGAAGUCAACAAGGUUAGGAUAAGCUCUCUUUAACUCGGCCAAUCAGCGUUCCCACAUGCUUGGAGCAUCUAGGAUCUUGGACAAAGAUGCUCUUGCCUUUCCAGCUGUGCCAGCCUGUAAAGCCGCGCCUCUCUUAUCCUCCAACGGUCUGAUUCAUCAGCCAAAGCCCCUUCUCUUCCCAUAAGUUACUCGGGUAACUCCUUGUAACCGCGGUCAUGGUUUCACUGGUCUGAAUGUGUACGGACCGUACGGCCUUGUACGGCCUUGUACGGUCAGGCCACUGUGAACCUCUCCCAUCACACCAAUGCUUAACACACUCUCUUCAGUCUUAACCCCUUUGUACUUCACACUUGUAUACUCAACUCUUCUCAACACUCCCCCUCAAGCUUAGCUUUGUGAUACCUACAAGGGUAUUGAAGGAUCAAGCACCAUUUGAGGUACUGAACCAGCGCAAGCCAUCUUUGACAUAUAUGAGAGUGUUUGGAUGCUUGUGUUAUGUGUUGGUACCAGGAGAGUUGAGGAACAAGCUAGAAGCAAGAAGCAGAAAGGCAAUGUUCAUUGGCUACUCAACAACUCAAAAAGGAUAUAAGUGUUAUGAUCCAGAAGCUAGAAGGGUACUUGUAUCUAGAGAUGUGAAGUUCAUUGAAGNNNNNNNNNNNNNNNNNNNNNNNNNNNNNNNNNNNNNNNNNNNNNNNNNNNNNNNNNNNNNNNNNNNNNNNNNNNNNNNNNNNNNNNNNNNNNNNNNNNNNNNNNNNNNNNNNNNNNNNNNNNNNNNNNNNNNNNNNNNNNNNNNNNNNNNNNNNNNNNNNNNNNNNNNNNNNNNNNNNNNNNNNNNNNNNNNNNNNNNNNNNNNNNNNNNNNNNNNNNNNNNNNNNNNNNNNNNNNNNNNNNNNNNNNNNNNNNNNNNNNNNNNNNNNNNNNNNNNNNNNNNNNNNNNNNNNNNNNNNNNNNNNNNNNNNNNNNNNNNNNNNNNNNNNNNNNNNNNNNNNNNNNNNNNNNNNNNNNNNNNNNNNNNNNNNNNNNNNNNAACAAAGUAUGGUCUAGUUCAGACUUCCUGAAGCCUUUUCCAUUCAGUGUAGUACUCAGCUUGUGAUACCAGGCUCUAGGUGAUUGCUUCAAUCCAUAGAUAGCCUUCUUCAACCUUAGGACAUUCCCUGGCUUCACAAGACUCUCAAGACCCGGAAGAGGCUGCAUAUACACUUCAUCUUCAAGUUCCCCUUGUAGAAAUGCAUUCUUCACAUCCAUUUGCCACAAUCCCCAUUCAAGGUUGGUAGCAAUUGAUAAGAUGAUUCGGAUGGUGUGAAGCUUAGCCACUGGAGCAAAUGUGUCUAUGUAGUCCUCUCCAUAUGUCUGUGUAAACCCUCUAGCCACAAGCCUGGUCUUCUUCCUAUCAACUGUCCCAUCUGGUCUAUACUUGAUUGUAAAUAUCCAUUUACAUGACACUGCUCUCUUCCCUUUAGGCAGCUCACUCUCAUACCAAGUCCCAUUCUUGAUCAUAGCAUCAGACUCAUCCGCAACUGAGUUCCUCCAGUCUUCAUCCUUUAUAGCCUCCCCAUACGUUCUUGGUAUGUAGCUCUCAUCCAGACUUGUUAUGAAUGCACAAUGAUCCCUUGGAAACUCGGCAAAAGAGCACACUGCCUGACUUGGAUGAGCUACUGCUUGUGCAUUGUAGUAGACCCUGGUGUUUGCCCAGUUAGAUGGAUCUUUCCUUACUCUUGUACUCCUCCUCAGAGGCGCAGGCACACUCUCCACAACUGGAGCACUAGUCAUGUUCUCCAUUUCUUCUUCCUCUUCUUCAGGUACAAGUGGUGUACCUCCACUUUGAUCCCUUACUUCACUUGACUCUUCAUCAUUGAUCCCACUUUGAUCAUGACUAGCUGAGUCUCUUCCUUCUUCAUGUACCGCCUCAGACUUGUCUUCCCCCUCAUGAUCAAUGUGGGAUGUUUCUUCAGCUUCAUUCCUAGUAGGCGUCUCUUGCGCCUUUGGAUCCUGGGUUAGAUUAAUCCCAAGACCCUCUAAGAUCAUCCUAAGGCUUGUAGCCUUAUCAGAUGUUUGAGCUAGAUCCUUCAGAUCUUCCCAGCUCCUUUCUUCAUAGUAUCCUCUUGUUUCAAUGAACUUGACAUCUCUUGAUACCAGAACUCUUCUUGAUUCUGGAUCAAAGCAUUUAUACCCCUUUUGAGUAGUUGAGUAUCCCACAAACAUUGCUUUAGUACUCCUCGGUUCCAACUUGUUUCUCAUCUCCCCGGGGACAAGUACAUAACACAAACACCCAAACACUUUAAGAUGACUUAGAGAUGGCUUGGUCUUGUUCAAUACUUCAAACGGUGACUGAUCUUCCAAGAUUCUUGUAGGCACCCGGUUGAUCAAAUAGCACGCAGCUUGUACAGCAUCACUCCAAAAUCUCUUAGGUGCAUUGGUUUGGAACAUCAUGGAUCUAGCUACUUCCAUUAGGUGUCUAUUCUUUCUCUCCGCAACCCCAUUCUGUUGUGGAGUAUAAGGACAGCUUGUUUGAUGUAGAAUCCCAUGUAGAGCCAGAUGUUGCUUGAAGGCAUGACUUGUGUAUUCUCCACCAUUAUCUGAUCUGAAAAUCUUAAGCUUAGCAUUGUACUGGUUAGUUACAUAAGUCUGAAAAUUCUUAAAUGCUUCAAGAACUCUAUCCUUAGUCUUUAUAAGUGUUAUCCAGGUGUAUUUAGAUUUUUCAUCAAUGAAUGUGACAAAGUACUUAUAGUUUUCUCUAGAUAAGCAAGGAGCAGUCCAUACAUCAGAAUGUACAAGGUCAAAACACUUCUCAUAGAUAGUACUUGAUUUCUUAAAGACAGUCUUACAAUGUUUUCCCAAAAUACAUGCCUCACAAUCAUUAUUUUUAAACAUGACACCUGGUAACAUUAAGCUUAAGGCUCUAACAUGUGGAUGACCUAAUCUAGCAUGCCAUAAUGCAUCAUUAUUGAUACUUGAACUAGAACUAAACGAGCAAAUUGAACUGGAAAUAGGAGCUAAGUCUUCUAGCAUAUAGAGUUCUCCCUUUGUCACUCCUUUGCCAAUCAUCUUACUUGUCUCAAUAUCCUGAAACUUCACAUCAUUAGGACUGAAUAUAACAUUGCAAUGUAAAUCAGUAGUGCAUUUCUUAACAGAUAACAAGUUUGAUGUGAAUUCAGGCAUAUAAAGAGCUCUAGACUCUUUAUUAAACAGUUUUAGAUUUCCUAUUCCUGUUAUUGCAAUCCUAUCACCAUUAGCAAUCAUUACAUGACCCUGAGCAGGUUCUAUGUCUUUAAUCAAGCUAUUAUCACUAAUCAUGUGAUGGGAAGCACCUGAAUCUACAAUCAGUGAUUUUAUUACAUUAUGCGCAGCAAAGGUACUUGGUUGUCUCAGGUUAUCUAAUCUAGAUGCACCACUUAACUUGAAUUCAGGAUCACUACUGAGAUGAGCACAAGUCCUAUCUAGGUAUGAUGCAGCAAGAGAGUAACAAGGGUUAUUUCCAAUACAGUUACCAUUCUCCUUGAGAGCUUUGAUGAGGGCGUCUAUGUCUGAUCUCCGGAUCAACUCGCCUUCAGUGCUCCUCAAGGGUGUGUGCUGAGUAGUUAAGGCUCUCCCCUCACCCUCACGCAUUGCUGAGCCAGCCCCGGAUGAGCUAGCUUCUCCUCCUUCAUUAGAUAGGUGCGCCCUUGCCUCUCUAUCUUUCAUGAACUUAGCUGGCUUGAGAUGAGGAUGUAGGAUCCAGCACUGGCUCCUUUUGUGACCUAGCUUCUUGCAAUGAUCACAGUUGCCCCCAAACUUCCUCUCCUCACUCUUGUAUGCCGCUUUGUUUGCUUGAGCUCCAUCCGCAUGGUUAGCUAAGGUGAGCUCCCCCUUUCCUCCAAACAGCCCCACUGACCCUUCUUCUUUCUGUAUCUGAGCGCACACAUCUUCAAGUGAUGGUAGCUUUGGAGACCUCAGUAUGUGUUUGAUCAGAUCGUUAAAGAUAGGGUUCAAUGUCAGCAACAGCCCAAACACUUGAUCUUGAGCCCUCCUCUCCAUAAGAGUGUCAUGAUCAGUGGUGUUGGGUCUCAGCAUUUCUAGUUCAGACCAUAAGGCUCUGAACUUUCCCAAAUGCUUUACUCAACCUCUUCUUGCGCAAGUGUGUUGAUUGAUCUCUUCAACUCAAACACCCGGCUCAGAUUGGAUGUGUUCCCAUAGACCUUUUGAAGAGUAUCCCACAGGUCUUUUGGCGUCUCACAGUAGAUGUAGGCCUCCAAGAUUGAAGCUUCAAGCGACCCAUGAAGAACUGUCAACACCUUCAAGUCGUCUUGAUCCCACUUCUCUUGGUCCGCUACCAUCAGCUCUUGACCGCCUUCUCCCUCCGUAGAAACUGGCUUUGGAGUUCCAUCUGAGAUGUGACUCCACAAACCCUUGCUCCCAACUGCAGCUUUCACCAGGCGAGACCACAGCAAGUAGUUCCCACCUCCUUUCAACGUAACCGGAACCGUCAAAGUCUUGUUCUUGUCUUCCAUGAGUGUGACCGUGAGUAGAGAUGGUUUAGGAAUGAAGAUGGAGACUCUAGAGAUUUAGAAACCAGGAAAUGAGUAACCUGGCUCUGAUACCAUAUAAGAAUCUAAGAAUGAAAUGAUUAAGAUAGAACUUGGGUAGAUUAUGAGAGAUUAUGAAGAGUUUAGUGUAGAAUCAUGAUUGAGAGAGUAUGAUAAGAGAAAGGGAAACUCAGAACUGUAUGUUUAUUAUUAAUGACAAGAGUUACAAUAUAUAGUGAGAGAUCAGUAGGGUUUUCGAAAUCAUAAAGGAGAGCUAAGCAUGUGAAGUCAACAAGGUUAGGAUAAGCUCUCUUUAACUCGGCCAAUCAGCGUUCCCACAUGCUUGGAGCAUCUAGGAUCUUGGACAAAGAUGCUCUUGCCUUUCCAGCUGUGCCAGCCUGUAAAGCCGCGCCUCUCUUAUCCUCCAACGGUCUGAUUCAUCAGCCAAAGCCCCUUCUCUUCCUAUAAGUUACUCGGGUAACUCCUUGUAACCGCGGUCAAAGUUUCACUUGUCUGAAUGUGUACGGACCGUACGGCCUUGUACGGCCUUGUACGGUCAGGCCAAUGUGAACCUCUCCCAUCACACCAAUGCUUAACAUACUCUCUUCAGUCUUAACCCCUUUGUACUUCACACUUGUAUACUCAACUCUUCUCAACGGAUUCUAUCAAACCUAUAAACCAUCUUUAUAGUCUCAAACAAGUUAUAGUAAAUAUUUUCGACCAAAAAAGUUAUAGUGCAUAUGAAAAUUAAAAGACGUUAGUAUUAAAUAGAAACAAAGAAUCUCAAGAUAAUAAAACAAUAAUAAUCUCGAGAUAAUACUAAACUAUUAGUAAUUAGUGUAACUGGACAUAGGUAAACUUAUGUGAAAAGAAAAAGAGUCUUUACUUUUUGUCUUUGGUGAACAGAAGUCUUCGAACAUUAAAAUUUACAGAAAAAAAAAACAAUAAAUUUAGAGACAUAUCAAAAAGGAAAAACAAAAGUGGUCACUUUCAAAGCAGAAUAGUGGACACUUAACCGUGUUUAAGGGUUUUGAUGGUUUUCAAUAUUUUAUUCCCCUGGACAUUAUUAUUUGCAUGUGUCAUUACCACAUUUAUUUCACAAAAACAAUGACAUAGUUUUAAAAAAAACUGUGACAUUGCAUUAAGCUGAUUGUGACAUGUAAAAUUUCUUUAUGAAAUUAUAUUUGGCUAGAAUUUUUAAUAAGGUAAUGACUAUUAACUCUUAUACCAUUAUUAAACAUUUAAAUUUUAUGUAAUUAUAUUUAUUUUUGGCAAGACUUUUUAAAUAUUUAAUAAUUAAUAAUUUUUAUAUCAUCAUUAAAGAAAAUAUAAAAUAAACUAAACAUGACUACAUAUAACAUUUACAUUAAUUUAUAAAUUAAGAAAAUAAUUUAUAAAUUAAUUAAGAACAUGAUUUUCCACUAAAAGUAUUUUAACUAUAAUAAAAAAAAAUAUUAUUAAAAUUUAGGUAUUUAAAUAUAGACAAAAUUAAUUUGCAUAUGUGUCAUCACCAUAUUCAUUUUAAGAAAAUGACAUGGCUUUUGAAAUUAAAAUAUUAAUUAUAACUGUGUAUUAACAAAUAUAUAACUAAAAAAACACUAAUCAGUUUUUGUUGUUGAUGAUUAAUGAGUAAAACGUUUAUUAGCACUUAUCGGUUGAUUAGGUUAAUUAACAAAAAACUUUAUGGGCUUCAUGUAUUUAACUAAAACAAAUAAAAAUGUAACUUUAUUAAAUUUAAUAUAUAUAAAUAUAGACAUAUUUAAUAUUAGGAAAUAAGAUAAAUAUUUAAAUUAAAUAACCAAUAAAUAUAAUAAAAUAUAAAUAAAAAAAUUAUUUUUAGUAAAUGUAAUUAUAACUCUACUAAAUUUAAAUAAAAUAAAAUAGAAAUAGGUAACCAAAUUCGAAUUUUUUAAUAAAAAAAAUCACAUUUAUGAUUUUAUCUUUUUCCAAAUCGGUAAAUUUAAAAUAUAAAAAUAAUAAUAUCAAAAUGUAAAAUAAGUCUUGAAAAUAUUGUAAAGUUACAGUAAAAGUACAGAAAAUAAAAGAAAUGCUUUUCUAAAAUAAAAUAAAUACAAUAAGAUGCAAAGCUAAAAUUAGAGAAUAAUACAACACAGAGAUUAAAAUUUGAAGAAGUUUUCUUCUGAAUCAUUUUGCAUCUCAUUAUUCAACACCAUUUAUAUUUGGCUAUCAUUUUUAUGAUAUUUCAAAUUAUUUUUCGCAGUUUUGUUUGUUGUAUAAUAUUGUCCAUAUUCCACAUUAGAUCUACAUGUAUUUUUGAAAAAAUAAAUUCUAAUUUAUUGAUUCUCUCGAAAGAAAUAUUAAAUGAAAUUGCUAACUUUUAACAAUUCUAAAAUAUAUCUAUACAAUAAGGAAAUUGUAUUUUCAGUGAGGAAUGACCAAUAAACAUAUUGAAUUGUAAACAUAUAAUAUUUUUUGGUCGCAUCACUUCUAUACCCAUGACAAUGAACACUAUAGUGACUUCCAUGGUAAUUGUUUUCACAACAAAGUUGUUAAGAUGAGUUCCUUACCACUUACUAGUUUCUAAACAAUUAGAUUAAGUUGCUCACCUUCUAUCUCAGUUUCGAAUGCAAGACUCACAUGCUCACCGACGUGGCCUGGAACUCUGCCUCUCGUAAAGCAGGAGGUGGCUGGUACUGAAUUGAUCAUGAGAAUGUUGUUAUCUUGCAGGGUGCCCGAGUCUUUGAUCGUAUUUCCUCCCCACUGAUGGCGAAAGCCAUAACCAUCCGAUCUCUUGAAGCUGGAAUCACAGAAAUCUGCAUAAAAUCAGAUUGUCAAGUACUUAUUGCUGCUAUGUCUUCGAAACGUUUUCCGGCGGAUCUCUACGGAAUCUCCCGAGAUAUCGAGACUCUAUCUCUUUGCUUCCUUUGUAUUUCCUUUUGUUUUAUCCCGAGGAACCUGAACUCUAGAGCCAAUUCUUUGGCUAAGUCUGUAUUAAACUCUUCUCCCACCAACUAGUUUGGUCAGGGUAGCAUUUAUAAUAUUUGGUGUUCAAAAAAAAAAAUUAAGUUGCAUGACAUUGAUCUCACUCAAAUUACUCUAAAGAGUAAAUUUACUCUCUCAAAUAAGAGGUUUAUUGCAGUAUUUAGGGAUCGAAUCCACAAGGAGUUAGAGAACCUAAUAAAUCUAAUGGGUUUUGUUAAGUUGGAUGGUUUAAUGAUUAAAAUGUAAAUUUACAGUUUUGUUUGAGCAAGUAAUUGCUCGAUUGAUUGGUUGAGGUUUUGGUGCUUAAAAGAAAAUAGCUAGACUUAGGGUUUUUAUUUUUCCUUGAAAUUAUAAUCUUACGGAUGCCUAAUGGGUUGCAUGCAUGAUAAUGUAGAGCUCAACUACUAAGCAACAAGUCAAUCAGCUCUCGCGUUUCUGGACUUUUCUAUUAACUAGAUCUAAUGACCCAAACAAAUGUGUUCGAUCAAUAGCAAGUGUCGAUCGAUUAUCCUAUAGGGAUAUCGAUCGAUACACCUUUCACUCCGUCGAUCGAUUAUCCAAUAUGUAUAUCGAUCGACGCGCUUCUAAUUAGGAUUUAUGCGCAGGUUGAAUGAUGCUCACUAAGCUCACUAGAUCAGCUCUCGCCUUACUCUUAGCAAGAAACUUAGCUCAAUUAGAAUGGUUUCAGGAUGAGAAUGAAGCUAUCGCUUUUAUCUAACAAUCCUAGGGCAAAUUCUAGGUAGUUAAUCUAGAAUCAGGCAUUAAUGACAAUCCUAAUGAUUAUUAUCACAAUUCAGCAAUCUAUAGUUGGGGUUAAUCCCUCAUAACCUAUUUAAACCCUAAAAUCUAACAAUGGAACUAAUCAGACAUGGCCAAGCAAUUCAUAACAACAAUUAGGUAAGAAAACUUCAUUAGAAUAUUAAAUAGAUAUUAAUGGAGUUCCAAUCACAAAUAUAAUUUUGGAUCUUUUCUCCAAUAUAUCAAAAUCCUAAAAACCUUUUGCUGAUAUAAUAGUAAAACUAGAAACACAAGAAAAGCACACUUUGCCUCUAACAUGGUGGUAAGGCUUAUAUAAUUAGGUUAAAACUCGUCAGGGUAAUCUUGUAAAUUAGUGAAUACUUGGGCUUCAAGUCGGCUGUGACCAAACGGGCUUUCUGCGCGCUUCGCUGUCGAUCUAUGUUCACAUCGAUCGAUGUUCUGAUGUGAACAUCGAUCGAUAUUUGUUCCUCGAUAUCGACCGAUGGUCGAGCUCGACGGUCAUCUCGGAUGCUUACUCCAAAUAUCUCCAAAAUCAUCAAUUAUCUCCAAAUCACUCCUCAUCUUAUAAAUAUAAUAAAUAGAUUCUAUAAUAUAAUAAUUAGUAGUAAAAACACCUAUAAACCACGGUGAAAAUGGGUCAAAUUCGUGGUUUAUCAGACAUCGAUUAUGGACACAUAGUCUAUCCCGGAGAUUUCAAGAGCUGAUUGGAAAGGAAAAAAUUUAACUCUCAAUCCGCCUUAAAAAAAAAAAAUCCUCCUCUCAACAAAAGAAAAGUACAAAAGAUAGAGAAGCAUCGAGAGACUGAUCAUGCUUUGAUCAGAUUAGGGCUUGAGUAAUCUAGGACUUCUCCUUUAAGAUUACCAUUAACAUCGCAAGGAGAGAACGGUUACUCCCGUACAAACUUAUCUAUGUAUCUAUUGUUUAUAGCAUUAAAACCUUAUUUUUUUCUUAUUCGAUCAAAAAAUGUUUUGAUGCUAUAAACAAAAUAAAACAAUUUAAUAAAAUGAUGAUAAUAAUAAAAUUCAAGAAAAAUAACUAACAAAAACAAUUGUUAAUUAUGGUGUGAUUAAUAUACAAAUUUACUCAAGACUGUAUACUAUCUUUUAUAUAUAACUGCAUGUACUUGUAAAAUUGUUAAAUAAGCAUAAUUAUGAAAAUAAUAGAUAAAGAAUAAUUUGUAAAAGCAAUGGAUAAAAAGAUUAAGUUAAAGUUAAAAAUGUUGAUAAAUACAUAUAAAACAUUGGUUAGCCUUUAAAUAUUAGUGAAGUAUGAGUUAAGAAAUUUUUUUUAACAAAAACAAAAAAACUUUUUAAAACCAACACCACAAAAAUAAAACAUUUAAUAAAUAUGUAUAUUUUUAAUUUUAUAUUAAAUAAAUGCUCAAAGCCAAGGUUUAUUUUUCGAUUUAGUAGGCACGGCACCUAGUAAUAAUUCGUUCGUACGAGUUCAAUAUCUCCUCACUCUCUAUCUCGACUCUAUAUAAACUCUCUCGCAUAUUCACAUAUUCCACACAACUUCACAAAACAUGUCUUCUUCGUUUCUCUCCUCCACUGCUUCCUUCCUUUUUGUUCUUCUCUACAUUGGUUCCUUCCACGUCUCCGAUGGAGCUCAACAAGGAACAUACAUCGUUCACAUGGCGAAAUCUCAGAUGCCCUCGAGCUUCGACCACCACUCUCUCUGGUACGAGUCCUCUCUCAAGUCCAUCUCAGAAUCUGCUGAAAUGCUCUACACUUACAACAAUGCGAUUCACGGAUUUGCCACUCGGCUUACUCCCGAAGAAGCUGACUCGCUCAAGACUCAACCAGGUGUCAUCUCCGUUCGACCAGAGCAGCGGUAUGAGUUACACACCACUCGGACUCCACUAUUCCUCGGCCUCGGCGUACACAACUCCGGCCUGUUCCCUGAAACCGGUCCAGGCAGCGACGUCGUCAUCGGAGUUCUCGACACAGGUGUUUGGCCAGAGAGCAAAAGCUUCUCGGACGAAGGAUAUGGUCCUAUUCCGUCUACCUGGAAAGGCGAAUGCGAGGCUGGGACAAAAUUUACCACUUCCCUCUGUAACCGCAAACUAAUCGGAGCUAGAUUCUUCGUUUGUGGUUAUGAAGCAGAGUAUGGACCAGUGGACGAAUCUAAAGAGUCGAGAUCGCCUAGAGACGACGACGGUCACGGAACACACAC
Molecule: long non-coding RNA, 51631 nt
Filed under: Brassica napus (rape)
Lineage: Eukaryota; Viridiplantae; Streptophyta; Magnoliopsida; Brassicales; Brassicaceae
Description: long non-coding RNA (BNAP_LNC022569)
Source: RNAcentral